Molecule: long non-coding RNA, 69712 nt
Filed under: Coffea arabica (coffee)
Lineage: Eukaryota; Viridiplantae; Streptophyta; Magnoliopsida; Gentianales; Rubiaceae
Description: long non-coding RNA (CARA_LNC001554)
Source: RNAcentral
AGUCCCUUCAUAAAAGGUUACAAGUUUGAAUUGUAACAAGUGUUAUGAUCUACUUUUUUUUUUUUUUUUUUUUAUCUUGUGUUAUGAUUUACAUUGACUUCUGUAACUGUAAAUACAUAAAUAGCAAUGGAAAAGUACACAUUGUGUGUCUCAUUUUACAAUUAGUAAAAGAAGCUAGUUAAUCGGAUCGGAUUGACUUAUGUAAAUGUAAAUAUCUACGUUGACUUCUGUAACUGGAAAGAAGACAUUCUGGAAGCCUAAGCCAUAACGGAGGAAAAGAUAGGAGAACCAAGACUAGAGAAGGCUUUGGCAGUCAGAACAGCUAUGCAAUUAGGAAAAGAAACACGUUGGUGGAAGAUUGAAAUGCACCGGAGGAUAUACAAAAGUUGAGGGAGUUUUUUGAUCAAUGCAAUUUCUUCUUUAUACGUAGAGAAAGAAAUCAGUUGUGUCCUGAGCUAGCAAAAUUCGCUUUGAUGUUAGUUAAUGAUGUAUAUUGGAAUACCAAUUUUCUGGGUUGGAUAAAAGAUCAAGCACGAAAGGAUUGUGAGGGCAGCUUAUUCCUUUUGUAAAGCAUGCUUAUAUUAUCAAGUUUUUUUUUUUUUUUUUUAUAUUAUCAAGUUAAACCAAUACAAAUGUCAUCGUUUUGACCAAAAAAAAAAAAAUGUAUCUCAUUUUACAACGUUGUUGUAGCUUUGUGCAAUUGUACUUUGUCUGCCAAUCUUGUCGGGUCAAUACUAGCAGUCCCAGAACCUUAACCCAUUUCCUCAAUAAAGUCUUCAUUUUUUGUCACUUGUUCUUUUGUCGGAACUCAGAAUUCAGAAUCCUCGUCCCCUCAAAUUCUCCACAUAGUAUUCCAGGGUUUAAGACUUCACCUUUCCCAUCCCCCAAUUUCUAAUUCCCUCCCCCACGCCCCCGCCCAGAAAAAAAGGAGAAAAAAAAAACACACACACACACACACAGAGGGGAGGAACACAGGGACAUGUCUGAAAUAAUGAAAACAUAUCCUACCAAUGAGUAUUUGCAUGAAAGGAAGCUCUUUUUCGGCCCAACAUUAGAGACUAGAAUGAUUUUUUCGGUUCCAAAUGAAAUAAUUCAAUCAAAGAUGAAUAGAAUAAGAUUAAUUGGCGGCGGAGGAAAUAAGGUGAAGGGCAAGGCGGCUUUAUUAGCUAAUUAUAGUGAUGAAGGGUCUGUUCAAGGUGCCCUUGACAAUUCCCCGAUUUCGAUAGAGCUAGAGCCAAUUUUGAGCGAAUCCCAGUUCGAUCGGGUCAUUGCUGAAGCUCAACAGCUUGAAGAACCAAUUUUAAUUGUAUGGUAUGCAGUUGACAUCAUAGAUUUUAUUUGUUUUUGGGUCUUGUGAUUUGAAUGAAAAAGUUGACUUUUACAUUGAGUUGGCAUUUUUUGUUGCAUGUUUUUCCCAACUUUUUUCCGUUGGAACAAUUGAACGUCUGGUCUUAGUAAAUAUCGUUUCUUGUCGAUGUAGAGGCUAACGUAGUGCAGAAGGCAAUCGGGUUGCUAAUAACUUGUUUAAGCAUUUUGUGUCCGUGAACUGGGUCAAAAAGUUAUUGGGCUAGUCUUUAUUUUUUGCUGUUAGACUAUUGCUUUUUCAUUUCUGGAUCAGUUGGAUGACUUCACUAGUUUCUAUCGUGAAGAGUCCUCAUGGUGAAUUUGAGAAUUAUAGCUGAGGCAGAUUCUAUUGAUUUUGUUGAACAAUAAUGGAAUGCAUGGACUGAUAAAGUCAGUAGUAACUCGUCAGAUUAGGAUUUGCCAGAUCACAGAGAGUGCACGUGGUGACAGUCGUAGAGUUUUGUUUAAAUUUUCUGAUUCUUUUCUUUCGUAUCUUGUGAUUUUGCAUAAUAGAUUUUGUAUCACUUUUUCCAAGAGUGCUACUUUUUUUUGAAUGUGAAAAUAAAUUGGAACUAUUGAUCCAGGAAUAUAUGGGAUUCAGAAAUAUUACCUACGACAUGUUCAUGGGAUCUAGGUAGUUGUGUCCUACAUGCGCCUAUAUUCAGGAUAUUUACGUGUUGUACAAUAUCUGUGUUUCAAAAUAACUUUUGAAGUUUGAUCUGUUCUCUGUACCUUAGUUGGUUACCACAUGUUUGGGAGGGUAAAAAUCCUAAGAAAGUUGUUUUUUCUGAUUAUUAGAAAUAAGUGCCUUUGGUGUUGUAGGGCAGGUAUAAUUAUGGUCAACAGAGAAGAGACCUCAUGUUUUACCAUCUACAGUUGGCUACCCCAGCUUGCUAGAUAGACCAAGUGAUUUAAAUAUUUGUCUUCCUAUAAAUCAGUUGGAAAUUGUGAUGCCUGCUGUUGAGUUUGUUUGUUAGGAGACCAAGCAAUCUAAUCCUUCAGUUGCCCUAGUCAGAUAUCAGCAACAGAUAUUUUUAAUAGUAGGACCACAUUUUCAAAGUCAUUUUGUUUCUAAUUUCAUACACGCUUGAUAUGUUCAUAAUGCUAAUAAAUAUGGUACAGAAGUAUAGAACAAAAUGGAAGAAGAUCAGUGCUUGAUUCAAAUAUUGCAUGAAAAGUCCUUUUAGGAAUUCAGUUGAGUUGUGUAUCGAUUUCUGCGAUGCUUUUACAUGUUUCACAUAUGCAGUUACAUGCUCACUGUCCUGUGGUAUUUUGUUUCUUACCUGAGAUUUAUGCUGAGAAUAUUAAGCUUAGAGCAUCCAGGAUUAUAUUGGUUGCAGGAUGGCAAGGUGGUGCAGAAAAUGCAUAUAUUUAAAACCGAAGUUGGAAAAGUUAGCUGCUGAGUAUAAUCCGAGGUAAUUGAUCUCAUGUACCAAAUUCUUGCAAUCCGAUCUUCAAACUCUGUUUGGUUUUGUAGGUGCUGGAUCAGGUUAAUUGGUUCUUCGCUUUCUUCUGUAUUUUAUAGAAAAGCAUUGAUGCACCUAUCCUUUUGAAGACUUAAUUUUGUUCUUCUUGGUAUCAAUUCAAUGAAAUCUUAAUUACAGCAAGGUACUUUUUUGUUCUAGGUCAAAUCCUGUGAUAGUUGGAACUGUCCAUGCUGAUUUUUCUGCACUGGCCUCUUUUAAAUAAUGUUUUUUCUGAUUGUUCUACUGCCACUAGUUGCAUUUAGCAGUGUGACAGACUGGUUAGUCUUUGUACUUAUGGUGAUGAAGGAAGAGGUGGACUUUGUUUUUUGAACGUCCCAAGCCUACUUGUUUCAUAAGCAUUACUGGUUAAUUCCUAAAUUUGGUUGCCUGUAAUGAGUUCACAAUUAUCUUGAAGUAGGAUAUCCCUCUUAGAUUAUGAAUUACAAGGGAUGCUAUUUGCAUCUCAAUAAGAUCCAUUUACCAUCAUAAGAGAUGAAAUCUUAGAACUUGCUUUUAGUUCACUGCCAGUGGCUCAUGCUUCUUUUCACAUGCUUAUCUUCACAAGUAUGAAAUGGCAUUUCCUGCUUAACUCUGAGAAAAUAACAUCCUUAUUGCAGCCUUUUCUAUGAACAAAACAAUUAUCUAAGAUUGCAGUUAUCUCUCAUUUUCUCUUUUCACCUCACUCAUCCAUCCAACCCCCUCGUCAGGGGCUCUGUCUAUAUGCCUCUGCAAUGACAAUUAUUGAUGCCUUCACUGAUGCAGAGUACGCUUUUUCCAUGUUGAUGUUAAUAAUGUUUCACACAAGCUCGUGGUUCGAGCAGGAGUUACUGUAAGUUUCCCUUUAAUGAUAAAAGUUUUUAAAUGCUGUUGACAUCUGCUUGCCUCAUCAUAUUAGCUGAAUAAUUAUACCUGUUUCUCUGCUGUAUGGAUGCAGAUUUCUACCACAAAAUGUUAUAAAACAAUCAUUUACUCUUUAAGUUGUAUAUACGAGUUCUGUGCAUAAAGUGGUAUUAUUGUUUCAAAAUGGAUAAGUUAGCCAAAUGAAACUGCUUCAUUACUAUGCAAUCUAACUGGAUGACUAAGAAUAUGCUACUCUCAUGUACUAGACUGGAGUAUUUCCAUUGUGAGUCAGUCGAAUUUUUUUAACACCCCAUUAUUCUGCGUAGGUUAGUUAAAGUUCAGACAAACGAUUCGAAUGAAAUCUAACUGGACUUAAUCUGCCUUUCAUGUAUCUGAAAUGCGGCUUCCAAACAAGAGCAGAAAAUGCCUACCAUACAGGUAACUCAGUUUAAUUACCCUGGAAAUUGUAUUGUCUUGACAGUUUCUGGCUUCAAACAUUUCUAGAAUUUUUGCAAUGUGAAUGAUUUUAAAAAAGCAUUGACAGCAGCUAUGGAAGGAUGGCCAGAAAGAAGGCGAGGUGAUUGGAGGGCACAAAGCACAUUUGGUGGUUAAUGAGAUACGUGAAAUGAUUGAAAAUGAAUACACCUUGUAAUUCAAUCCAGUCCCUGAGGGUAUGCAUUUAAACUUCAUUCAACAUUAGCCAAUCGCACAGGAAAAAGCUGCAUUCAGGUGUUUUGCUUGCCCAAUUAUAGGGAGAUCAUUGGCUUACUUUUUCCAAUGCGUCAUAGGAAGAUAAUUAAUAUACUUGUCCCCUUGUUUUUCCUAUUUGUCUUCUCCCCUCGCAAAACCUCCCUCUUUUGGGGGUAGAAGGAGGGGAGGGGGCAGGGGAGUUUGCCACUUUUCGUUCUGGUUCUGUAGCUGGCUACAUACUUACCCAUCUUAAGAAUAAUAUAGUGCCACCUUUCAGGGAAAAAAAAAAAGGAAAUAAAUAGUGCCACUCCUGUACUUACCAAGAUUAGCUGAGGAUGCACUGCAUAUAUCGGUGGCCAGGAUGUCCCAUCUUCACUGGUUUAUUCUUUCCUUUUUGAGUAUUCUCAUUUUACCUUGUUUUAUGGAACCUUCCGCUGUCUGUUAGAUUACUCACAAAAGAUUUGCUGAUAAAGAUGGAUCCAUGUGUUUAAUUCCACUCAUUACUUUCUCUAGUUGAUUUUACACACAGAAAUUUUCUAUGAUGAAUUAUUAUAACAUCAUUUAUAGUUGGAUUGCUGUAAAGCAUUGUGUCAACUGUGUAUACCUUGAAGUUUAGAACGAUAAAUUAAUAAAGUAAUGGUGAUGGAUUAUGAUAAAAAAAAAAAGAAAAAAAAGUUUCAGAAGUAAGUGUCCAUGCAACAGGGCUGGAAAAUGUAAAGAAUCAGAUCAGUAAUUCAUGCUGCUGCUAAAUAGCAAUUGAUAUGUGACAAACUGUCCAUGUUGAAUGGAUAUAUAUGCCUUUCCCAGCACGUCUGGUGCUUGGACAAUAUCUAAUAACCCCUCUUAUUUAAUUUUUCGUUUGUAAUUCAUGGUAUCUACGAAUUUUAGCAGUUGAAUCCUCUCAAAAAUCUAUAAUUCAAUAAUAAUUUCAUUAAUCUGAGAAAUUUUUUUUAUAGAAUGGUAUAUCUACAACCGAUAAUUCCUUCCUGGAGAAAAUUGAAAAAUGAAACUUGAUAAGAUUAAUUGAUACUACAUUCACUUUAUGGCUUCUUCAAACCGAGAGACAGAGCGAGAAGCAGAUAACCACAAAUGAUUUUUGCUUCUUCUCUGUCUUCCAUCCCUUUUGACUUAAAUUAACUCCUACAUAGAAAUCUAUACAAUAUAUAAAGAAGUAGAGGCAGUGGUUGGUAUAACCUUUUUUUUUUUUCAUUUUUUGAACUUUCAACUAUAUCCUUACAAAAUCUGAUUUUUACCUUAAUUACCUAAUCAUAUUUUAUUAGUUUAACUACUUAUAACUGCUUUUGCUUUUUAAGUAUUGUAACUACCAAAUUACUAUAGCCUUAUAAAUCAAAGCUCCUUAAUUAAUUUAUAUAAAUUGUAUUUAUGUGAAAAACAAAAUUCAUAUGAUACUAAUUCGUUUUAAUUGUUUUUAAAUUGCAGACACAUUGGAGGUGCACUCGAAUGUCUAAACAAAAACAAAAAAAAAAAGCACGUUUAAAAUGUGCUCUGAACAGUUAUUUAUAGUACUAAGUCGCACUUAACUGGGAGGAGGGACAUGAACGGUUGCAGGAAGCAAUGUGACCGUUCCUGAAGGUUCAUGACUAAGAUUUAGCCAAAAAAAUAAAAUGUAAAGUCCAAAUUACAUCUUGUACAUUGUUCUUCACAUCAUCUGUGAGGUUCACAAAAUUUUGUUUUAUAGUUAUACGUUAUUGAAAGUGAAUUAUAUCGUGUGUGUAUAUCUUAUGCAUUUUGCAUAAAAUUGACCCGAACGAUUUUCCUAAGUAUUCGAUUUUCCUGACAACAUUCGGGCCCUGUUCCACUUAAGUAACAUAAAGUGAUUGCGCCGUCAUGGCAAUGGCGGUCCCCAACCUCAUGCACGUAACCUAUAAAAACGCUAAUCUCAGGCACCACAUUAAUCCCAUGCAAAUUUCCAAAUUCCUCCACUCAUAUUCGUAUGAUCGUAUCUAUGAAUCCAUAUACCAACCGACCGAUAAAUGAUUCCAUAAAUUGGAAAGGUUGCCAUAAUAAGUAAAAAGAUUUCCAAUAAUUGUACACGCAAUAAAUGAAAUCCCAGAAAAAUUCCCGAGAUUCCUCCUUCAUAUCAAUGCUAACUAUCGUACACUCGUUCAAUUUUGGUGUGUGUCCGACUAUUUUUAGGUAGCAUGCUUAACCAGAAAGUCUCUGAUCUGUAAUUGCUUUUGGUUUGUUCUUGUUUUGUUUUUCUUUCUCGCUUUCUCCUCCUCUUCUUUUGUUUGGAAGAUCCCCGUUCCGUUUGAUCUUUCCGCUGGAAUUUCUCAUUUUUCUUCAACAUUCUUGCUUUCCCUGGAUUUUUGUUGUAAAUUUUGACGAGAAUGAUCAAAAAGCCUGAAUUUUCAAGAGCCAGGAGGAUUUCUUGAAAGCCCAACUGGAUGCUAUUCAAUUACUCACGGUGGUAAGUUUCUUCUUCUUUUUUAUCCAAUUAUGUCGUUUCAACCGCAUUAAUGUUGCUAGAAUGGUAAUUAAUUUAGGAUAUUCGUUUUAAAUCUUUUAAUUAUGGUUCUUCAUUAUGUUAUUAUUCUCUUUUCAUUUUUAUUUUUUUUUUGUCCUUUUUUUUGUUUAUUUUAUAUGCAUUUUAUAUUUUUGCUCCUGAUUUUGCUGGAUUGUGUUUAUCUUAAUUUUUGUGGGAAAUUCUUGUUUCUUGAUUUAGGGAUUCGUAAGAUGGCUGAUGAGGGUGGGAAAGAUGACUGCUUGCUGUCAAGUGGGAGACUAAUGAGUGAUUCUGGUGAUGAUCUAAUGUUGGGAGGAUCAAGUUGUAAUGGGGAUUUAAUGAACAAUAGUAGUAUUCUGGAAAGUGAACUUGAAUUAUUGCUGCUACAGAAAGAGCAGCAGAGGCAGCGAAAUCGCGGCUUAUUUGUUGGAAGUGCGAGGGAUUUUGACAUUCACAGGAGUGGUAGUGCUCCACCAAGUGUAGAAGGGGCCUUGAGUGCUGCUGGAAGUCUAUCCAGGAAUCCCAAUUUUGCAUCGCUUCAUAGUACUGCUUCUAAUACUGGUACUGAUAGAGUUUUGACAGAAGAAGAGAUUAGGUCUCACCCUGCAUAUUUAGCAUAUUAUUAUUCAAAUGAGAAUCUUAAUCCGAGGUUGCCUCCACCAUUGUUAUCGAAAGAAGAUUGGCGGAUUGCUCAGAGGGUUCAGGCAGCAGGGUCUUCAGUUGAUGGGACUGGGGACUUGAGGAACAACCUCUUGGUUGACGAUGGUGUCAGCUCAUUGUUGCUGUCAAUGCAGCCUAGGUUAGCUGUCAAGAAGGCGGAAGAGGAUUUGAUUGAAUUAAGAAAGGCUGCAGUUAGGAACCUUUCGCGGAAAAGCUCCACAGAAUAUCUGGAAGGGAGCUCUUCUAGUUCUGUUGGCCUAUCAAAAGCUGGAAUGGGUGCGAGAAGGAAGAGUUUUGCAGAUAUAGUUCAGGUUGUGCAGCUCGCAUGUGUUGGAAUUUGAAAUUGAGUGUGCAUUAUUCUUUCUGUCAUAGUUAUUCAUAUUGCUUUGCUUGAUUUUAAUAUCAUCAUCUUUUAGCCAUGUGCACUUAACUUCAGUUGCACUUUGCCCAUACCAUAACUGCCCCUGCCCAAUGAGUUACUGAUUGUUAUGACUACCUUCAUUGUCUUGUCUUCUUAUCAUGUUAUCAUUGACUCACACGUCAUUUACUGACAUCUUAGAAGGGAUUCAAUUGACUUAGUGUUCAUGCUUCCAUAUUUUGAAGAUUACUGUUCAUCUCCUAUGCUACAUCAUUGGCAGAACCACUUGCAAUGUUUAUUUACUUGAGACAAUUGGAAUAAUAAUCACUAGCUGCACUUAGCCGCAAUAUGCCACAUUACCCCUAAAUAACUUUUGCUCCAUAGGCAAACUCCAAUCAUUACAAAGCUUUCCAUCAGAAGAUUUGGACAAGUAAAUGAAGUUCUCACUGGUUGCUAUAAACAAUCAAGAAAUUCUACAGUGAAAAAAUUUUCCAUAACAGAUAUGACUCUGGUACAUUGAUUUCUCCACUUGGAAUCAUUUCAACAAACAGAGCUUGUAAUUCUAGAGUUUGAGCAUAAUGCUUAAAUUCUGAUUUAAGUUGUAAGCAGAUUGCUUUACUCAAUUACGUGGACCCUAUCAGCUGCAACAAUAUUAUGACAUGUGAAAAGACUGAACAAUUACAUUUUUCAUGCUUCCUUUGAUUUUGGUGUAUGUAUGGAAUAUAUCAGGGACAUACCUAACUAUAAUCAUGUUGAAACCCCAGCACUCUAAUUCUUAAGAGGAUGUAAGAAUUGUCUUUUGUUUCCUUCACUGGUACUGUGAUUUGUUUCCAAGAGAAGUUAGCAACUGUUUCUUUUACUAUAUGAAAGUUAUACUGAGGAGAUUUAUGAUAGAGAAGUCUUAAAUUUCUCCCAGUUCCCUUGAUUCUGUGUGCACUUAAAAAAAACUUCAAAAAAAAAAUCAACUCCCUUUGAUAGGGAACUCUCUCUCUCACACAUACACAAUUAUAUAUACCACUGUCUAUUUGUUCGCACACUUUGUCCAUCUAUUCAACUGAAAUGAGUGAUUUACAGGAAGGAUGUGGUCAACCUGCAACAUCCUCAGGUCGUCUUUCACGGUCUGCUAGCCGUAACUCAGUUGGUGAUAUCUUGGAUUCGAGAACUAUAUCUGAUACCUAUUCUGGAGUAUUGCAAAAUAGAGCAGAAUCUUUUGAUUCAAUGCAUCGUGGGCAACUUACUUCAGGCUUGUCCAGGGAUUUAGGCCACCCCAGUGCUUAUCCAUGUACAACAGGUGCAUCUUUGACAUCUCCUCCAGGGUUCCCUGCUGUGGGUAGCCGAGUCUCCCUUGAUGCCAAGAAAAACAUCAGGGAUCCAAAAUCACAGGACCUUUCAUCUCAUGACACUGAAAUUUAUCAUAUUUUAGCUUCUUUCCCAGGAUUAACUGUCAAUAAAGUCAGCGAGGAUGCUCCUUUAAGUUCUCCGACUCCAAAUUGUCAUCAGCUGAAUAUGCAGCAGCACUUCAUUGACAAGUCUAGAGCUGAAAAAUUGAUCCCCGCUACCAAUCAUAAUGAAUUUUCCAGGGGGAAGAUGGUAUCACAGCUAGAUUAUGGGAACUUUAAUUUAGACAGACAAGUAAAUCUUCCAAGAAGAGCCUCUUCUUUAGUCAACCUUCAGUCACUAGUAAAUUCUUCUGAGUUCACAAUGUUGGACAACCCUAAUCUCCAAUAUCCAGGUGAUAAUUUCUAUGCUGAGGACUUCUAAUGUCUUAUAUGUUGUGUAUAUCUAUCUAGUCUGGUAAUGAGCUAGCUAUCUAUAUUCAUGAUGUCUCAUAACACAAUUCCUUUUCGUUUAAGUUUGAAGUUCUUAGUUUUUUUGUUUUAUAAUUUUAGGUUCACAUUUGGGUAAUGUUACUCUGAAUGGACAAAGCUUGAGGAGGAGUGGUAAUUUGGGUCUCUCUAACAUUCAUUCCCCAGACAUACAUCAGGCUCAUUAUUCAGAGAAACAGUUGAACUAUGCUACACAUGCAGCGGCUAUGCCAAGAAAUCUGUCCCACACAAGAAAUUACACAAGCACUUCUCACCCUGAUUUGCACCAAUUAGAGAGAAUGUAUAUUGAAACAUUGCUUGCACAACAGAAUCAACAUUGUCAGUUGCCCCUCUUAUCUAAAUCUGGAAGUUUGAAUCUCCAGUACCACGGGAUCCCUACAUUUGGCCUACACAUGUCUCAUCAAGGAAACAGAAUGCCAAAUGCCGUUCAUCCUACAGUGGAAUCUGGAGGUCCUACUUUUCAAAAUGAGCAACGUUCACAGUUUACUAUUGCAUUGAAAAGUCAACUGGGGGGAGCUAGUGGGACUAGAAUAGAAGGGAAGACCAUAUCACCAUUGUUAGAAGAGCUCAAGAGCAACAAGGGCAGAUCUUUGGAACUUUCAGAUGUUCUUGAUCAUGUUGUUGAAUUCAGGUGAUUAUCGAGUCUAAUGGCUUGUUUGUUCUGUAUCAAGAUAAGUUAUCAAUACAGGUAGUUUUCUCUAGUUUCUUCUCUGAGUUCUACCCCCUUCUCUGUAAUGUAGUAUGGAUCAGUAUGGGAGUCGCUUUAUUCAGCAGAAGCUGGAAACUGCCUCUACUGAGGAUAAGAUUACAAUAUUUCCAAAGAUCAUUCCUCAUGCUCGAAGUCUGAUGACUGAUGUCUUUGGUAAUUAUGUCAUACAGAAGGUAAUUAUCUUUAUCAUCCAAUAAUUGUAAUUGAUAUUCCAGUUGUUGAUGCAAUUGUUACUUGGAUAUGCAGUUCUUUGAGCAUGGCACAGAAACUCAAAGAAAAGAGUUGGCUGAUCAACUUGUUGGUCAUGUUUUAGGCCUCAGUCUUCAAAUGUACGGUUGCAGAGUAAUUCAGAAGGUUUGUUCUUGAGCUUUUCUUAUGUCUUGAAUCUGAGUGUCAGAACUUUCAGAUAUUUUUUAAUGAUUGAAUCAUGAAAUUUGUGGUCGGGUGAUAAAACAUAUUCAUCACAACACAUUCUUCUGACAUCUAGAUAUCUGAAUAAUAUAUAUCUUCUCUGAGAAUACUUGGGGUAUGAAGCACCAUAUAUCUGGUCUCUAAACUCCACUAAUCCAAUAAAUAGCCUCCUUGAUUGAACAAGCACAGAAAUUGUUUCCAAAGUUAAGCUUUAACUGUAAAAAAAUAAAAAUAAAAAUAAAUAAGUCAAGCAACAAAGGUUUGAGAAGGAACAGAGAAAAAUGUGAACACAGGUAUAAAUUUGAUGUUUACUUCAUUGCUUUUGAAAGGGGUUUUCAGUCAGGAUGCCUAGAACACAUGCAGCUACAAUUAAUUGAUGAGGACAAAGUGAGGAUGCUAUCUGGAGGUCUGAUGCUUAUGCUACUUCUUAUUAGGAUUAAGUGGGUUCAUAUCAUACUGUGCGUUUACACUCUAUUGUUGUAUGCUUGUUCUUGCAUUACACCUCCUCAGUACUUAUCUUACAAUAUUUAUCAUCAAUGGUAGAAAAAUGUGGAUGGUGAGAGUGGAGAGUGAGUAUCUUAUGAGAGGAAGAGAGAACAAUAUUUUCCUCUACCAUUCUUGUUUCUGUCCUGGAUGUCGACCAUAGAUUGACUCACAAAAGAAAUUUUACAAUGACAGCACCACAUGACCAUUUACUAAAGGUUUAAAUUUCCACUUUCUGUAAUUGGUCUAUUCUCCCGACUGGAAAUAAUUUACGAAAACUUGGUACUUACUGAUUCAGGCCUUGGAAGUGGUUGAUGUGGAGCAGCAGACACGAAUGGUGACAGAGCUUAAUGGUUCUGUUAUGAAAUGUGUCCGUGACCAGAAUGGUAAUCAUGUAAUCCAGAAAUGUAUUGAGUGUGUCCCACAAGAUCGGAUCCAAUUUAUUAUCUCAUCCUUUUUUGGACAAGUUGUUGCCUUGUCUACCCAUCCUUAUGGUUGCCGUGUCAUUCAGGUUUGGUUUUAGCUGUUCAUCUUUCUGUCAUGAUCUUUCUUGUUCCUGCAUGCCAAUCAUGUCUGAUGUCCUGUUUUUUAUUCAGAGGGUCCUGGAACACUGCAAUGAUCCAAAUACUCAACAUUUCAUCAUGGAUGAAAUAAUGAACUCUAUAUGUACAUUAGCGCAAGACCAAUAUGGAAAUUAUGUCAUCCAGGUACUCUAUUACCUCUUUAGAUCUAUUUGUCUGUCUUGUCGCAUCAUUCCAGUUUACCAAUAUUUUAUUCUCUAUCACGCAUGUGGCUGUUUGGUCUUAAAUUUUUUCCAUAUAUCAGAUUUUAGUUCCUUGUCAUCAUAUAAUAAUUGGGGUUUUUCCUUCAAAGUACUAACCUGAACUGUAUUGUUUUGAAAUCUGGUUGUGUCUGUUUUCUUUUCUACUUUCUUUCCCCUUCACAGAUACUUUUGGUUGUCAAUCGUAAAUUCUAGCUACUGGUUUUGGUCACAGACCACAGUGGCACUGUCUGAAUCUUUUUGCUUACAAAAUCAGGGAGAAAGUUUACAGGGCUGAAAUUAGGUUACUUAAUCAUGGUCUAGAAGGCAUAGGUUGUUCUGUGUUGGAAAUAGGCUUCUUGAUUACAAGGGAAGGGCUCCAUCCCCUACCAAUUGCCAAAUACUUAAACACCUGGAGGCCAUUUGUAUUUAAAGCUCAGUAAGAGAGAAACACAUUUUGGUGUUUCUUUUGUAACUGACAAAAACUAUGGCCUACUUGUGAAAUGGUUUCAUACAAAUAUUGAGAGCUUGUGGAAUUUAGCUGACACUCUAUCUUAUACUUCCCUUUCGUUCUAUUCCUUUUCCAACUGAAUGACUUAGUUUCUUCUUUAGUCCAUCCAGAUAUUAAUGUCUACUUGCAUUAUGUUUGAACAACUCAUAAAUGCUCUGAAGAAACUCCUAAUAAGGUAGUGGCUCCACAUGUUUCUCACUUUGCCCUUAAAGUCCCAUUGAAUAAUAUGGCAGACUCUGUCACAUGUUUUGCAAUCCCUCUCUAAGGUAGUAGUAUAUACUUUUCAACACAUCUUAGUACUAGGACACAGCCGAACUACAACAUUAAAUUUAGGACACUGGAAAUGUUAAAAUUUGAAUUAGUUAUUGAACUUCUUGGGUGUUGAAGCCAAUUGGCACAUUGUUACCUAAAUUGCAAUACACUUUUUUAUUAGAAUAGUUGCUGAGUGAAACUUAUGCUUCAGUGCAAAAUGUCAUAUGUUUCAAACAAGGCUACUUAGAAGGAUGUGAUAUCGUAUUAAAUGUCAAUGCUGUACUUGGUGGAAAGCAGGAUAGCAAUUUGUUUAAUUGCUUUGUAUAGCUUUUCUGUCGGUUCCUCAAACAUUUUGCAUGAAUGAUGGUUUUUCGUUUUGCUAUUAGUAGAAAUCUUUUUUUUUUUUUUUGUAUUGAAGUAAUGUGGUGCAUUUGCUUUUCUUAUGCUCAAUGAUGUAAACUCUUCUGUUCUUUCGCCUUGCUUAGCACGUCUUGCAACAUGGGAAUCCCCGCGAACGGUCUGAAGUCAUUAGCAAGCUCGCUGGACAAAUUGUGAAGAUGAGUCAGCAGAAAUUUGCUUCCAAUGUCAUUGAGAAGUGCUUAACUUUUGGUGGUCCACAAGAGCGUAAAGUUCUGAUAGAUGAGAUGCUUGGUUCCACCGAUGAAAAUGAACCGCUGCAGGUUGAUUUUUAAAUCUUAGUCCCGCAUGCUAAGAUUCAGCUUUUAUCCUUUGGUUACUGAGCAUUUGAUUUGAUGAUUUGGCAGGCCACCUUUUGUUUUACUGACAUAUUUCUUGGUCCUUCUGUGCUUCUAUUUUGAUUUUUAGUUCUUCUUCUCUCAAGUCUUGAGAGGAGGAGGAGGAGAAAAUGAUGCCAUUUUUUCAGGUCAUUCGUUGCUAAAAACACUUUCAAUCGGUUAAUGAUGUCCUUGCAGGCUAUGAUGAAAGACCCCUUUGGAAACUAUGUUGUCCAGAAGGUCCUCGAGACUUGUGAUGAUCAAAGCCGCGGGCUAAUUGUCUCUCGUAUUAAGGUGCACUUGAAUGCGUUAAAGAAAUACACUUACGGGAAGCAUAUUGUUUCUCGUGUUGAGAAGCUCAUAGCAACUGGAGGUGAGUGAAUAUCCCGCCGCGUCUUCAGACUUUUUGGUUUAUUAGCACUUCUUUUAACAUUUUGCUGUUUUUAGUAAAAGAAUUCACCCCAUGACAUUCAACUUGAAUACAGAGAAGCAUAUGGCAGUAUCCUCUUCUUGAAUUGAAUGACAGAGAACCCCAUAUAACAAGAUGGGAUGGUGGCUCAGCCGCAGCGCCUUUUAGUUGAUUGGAACCUCUGCUACUUGUAGUUGUAGAUAGACUACACACUUCUUUUUUGCUUCCGUUGGAAUAAGACUUUCAUUUUGUCUUUUCCAUCUGUAUGUAGCCCUCUUAUAAAGUUUAUGCAUAGUUUUUAGAAAGUCAAGAAGGUGUAGUGAGAGGAAGAAUUUGUAUCGACUCUUUUCCUCAACGAGCAUAUGUAAGUAACUGGGCAAUUAUUUGUAGAGAGAUUGACUGUACAUGAUCGCUUUUCAAUGAUGGAAAAAGCUUGGUAAAAAUGGCUAUCAUGCACUUUGAUGCAUUGGAACUCCUUAUGCUUAUUAUGCAUCAUGACCGUUGGGAACUCCUUAUGCACUUUGAUCCAACAUUUUUGUUUUUAUUUUUUUGUAAGUAAGAUUCGAACCAUAAUCUCUCACUUAUGCUCACACCUUCCGAACUACUCAACUCAUCCGUCCGCUCAACAGUACCUAAGUUAAAUAACAUCAGAUUCUCCACUUUUCCCCCUUAUUUUGGGGUGGUAUCCAUGGUUUAAUAUGCUGCCCUGCAGAAAUACUUGGCAGGCAUUCUUGCAUAUCGUGCCUCCGAUUCAGAAAAUGAGUGAAACCAAGUACAACAAAGAGACAAUACAUAAUUUGCCAAAGUAUCCCAAUUCUAGCUUUUUUUUUUUAAAAUCUAGCAAAGCGGUGGCAAAUUCUAAGCCCUGAUACAGUAAUUAUGCAUGGAUAUAAUUGCCAAAUAGCAUUCGUGCUGUGCUCGCACAAAAAGUUAAAAUUCUCCUCAUAAAUCUUUAAACUAUGUACAAAAGAAUAGAGCCUCAGAAAAAGAAGGGGUUUAAAUUCCUACUACAUAUAUAUACAGUAGAAACCUAUGUACAAAAGAAUGUGAAGUGAACAACGCUCAUCAGAUCAACUGCGUCUUGCAUGGAAAUUAUCCCGGACAUCAACCUCCUAGCAACGCUAAACAACCAGUGUUCUACAUUGAACAACUUUUAACCGCCAGGCCACCACCAUCUCUUCUUUUUCUUGUUUUCUAGUUCAGGAAAUUCUGCAAAUCACAGACAUUAGUAGGCACAGCAUUUCAGUCUGAAACUUAAACCAAAUAUCUUUUCCAAUUAAUAUAGACAAACUGUUACCUUCUAGGUUAAAAUGUGAACAUUUAGGCGUCUGAUGGAAAAGAGUAAGCAUAUAUAAGUUCAACUUCAAGACGGUAAGAAAUGCUUGAAAACAACAAUUGCUUGAUUAUAUCGUCUAUCAAAAACGCCCAAUUAAAGCAAUCAUCCCAUCAACAGCCAUCUUCCAAACUACCUAUCCCUCCAUCACUAGCCUAUUAUCGUUUUUUUAAUCUCCCAAAAGCAUCAAGACUUGAUCUUUGCUAAAAUCUUAACAAACAGUUGGAUUAACCAUUCUAAUUGACCUGGGUAAAGAGUGUUGAGCUAAAUCCAAAGAAAUUUUCUUGUCUUCAUGCACUCACGUAUGUUAAAACAUGCAACAAUUAGAAAGGAAAAGCAAAGAUACUGUAUACAAAUUAAAUGGAUAAACUCACUGCUAAUGGGAGAUGCAAGGGUUCCUAAAUUCAGCAAUAAAGGACCUUGAUGAGCCAGAGUAUACAGAGUAUUGUGUUGAAUUGGAAGAAAAAAUAUAAAAGACAAAAAGAAAGAGAAGCGGAUUAACGUUCUUACCUCCAUGAGGAUAUAUGGAGUUAUAGUGCACUUCUGCCCAGAAGCUCAAAGUUAUUACUGCAGGAAACAUUAUAACAAUAAGGAUCAACAGAAGUUAUCUUAAACUCGGUACUCUUCAACUGAUUAUCAAUCUCUCACUUUUAGCACACAGAUGUAACAUAUAAAAGAUAAAAAGGGUCCUUGCAGAGGAGGAAAUUCCAGAUUGACAUUUCCAAAGCAUGUAAAACAAACACGUCAAAGGACAACAGAUGUCAUUUAAGACAAUAAGAAAGCUGAAAGUGAGAACCAGAGAAAGCUUUAUCCAGCCAAACGGAUGGCUAAGUGAUCCAGGAAACUCCAAUUAAAAUUCAAAACCAAGAAUAUAUUCGACACAUAGCGGACUUACAUUAUACAUUCCAUUCUUCACCAAUACAUUGAAGAACAAUUUCUCGGGGAUUCAACACUUCUAAAAUGGGGAAUCGCAUGAGAAUCAGGUAAACCAACUCUCCUUAGGCGAGUUGGCCACCAGGCAAAGUAUAGAUUUGCAGUCUGGAUACAGGUUGCAGGUUCAAACCCUUGCAUCCACAGUUAAAUCCAAAGGGUGUGCAGCAGUGCACCCCUUUGGUCUAGAGGUGGGUUUCUCUCCCUCUAGCCCCCCAUGGCCCAAUUGGGCCCUCCCCUAGUAUAGGUUAGAGUAGGAAUAGUGUGUAGCUGUUGCCAAUUGACCCAAAGGGAAAAAAACAACAAUUUCAUCAUUCUGCACUACUCUGCUCAAAAGCAGCACCAAUUACUAAAAGCCAUGAGACCUUCUUGACUAAAUAUGUUUCCCAUCACAAGAGCGAGUCCUAUUGCGAAAUUCAGGUUUUCAGCUUCUAGCUUUUAUUGCAUCUAUUUUUUGCAACACUAAAUAAUUUACUCCAGUGCAACCUUGAGUUACAAAAAUAAUGUAGUGCAUACUCUCCUAAUGUCAUGUUUCACAAGUUUCUUGGUUACAAUUCAUCCUUGCAAUUUAAAAUUAUUAACAACGGGAUUCAAUUCAGUAGCCAUUUUAAGAUCAUAAAAUUCAAAAAGUAUGUGGGUUAAUAAGAGUUUCUGUUGGAUUAGCUUUGUUCUGAACUCUCCUUGCUUUACAUAGAAAGGCAAUCUCAAAUUAAGGUACUGCUGAAGCUAGGUCAGGUCAUCUGACAAAUCUUAGUUACUUGUUUUAGAAAAUUGUACCUGCUCUUAAGUUUCAUGAUCCGGAAAAAUAAACUUGUACAUCAAAUGAUAGAAAAUACUUACUUCUGUCUGACUUCUGUAUUUGAGGAAGAAUCUCAAUAUAGCAUGUGUCCUUGAAGGACGUUAUCACAAAAAUCCUCACACCAUACUGUAUAAGAUGACAAGCAUUAGUCACGAUGAAUGCAAAGUCACAUUCAAAGAAUGACGACACAUCCUAAAAAAGGCAAGGAAUAUUGGUGAGAAUUUAUCUAUGCAAAUUUUAAGCCCCUAACUUGCAGCUAAUUAAUGUGUGCCAAAUGCAGGUUCAGCAAUUCAAGGAAAAUUUAUUAUAGAAAUCUGACUGAAAAGACCUGCUUAUAGAUAUGCUACCCUUUUUGUGGAUAUAGAAACCAUCUUCUACUCCAUUUUGCAGAAAAAUGAAAGAAGACUAAACCAAAACAAGCUCAGACAGAGGAAAAGUGAGGCCCUUUACCGAAUCUGCUGCUGCCUGCAGUGUGACAUGAUCACCCCAUUCGCCAGUCCUGUAAGGUUAAACUAGUUAUCAAUAGGAAAUAAACACAUAACAGGGAAAUAGUCUAAAACACACCAUGGAAGAGAAGACAACAGAAGCGAGAUGAAUACUUGGUUAUUCUUUUCAAGUAGUCAUCAUAGGCCAUGGGAACAUAACCUUCAUACAACUCUGGAUGAGAUUGAAGCUGAUCAAAUUGACAAAAAGGAAUUAUUAGCAUCCAAUAGAACACAAAUCUAUGACUAGAAUUAAACAUGCUGAUUUCCUAUAAGGAUAAUAAGUCAUUCUAAAAAUUUAACAGUAUACAACCUGGGUGACAAUUUGCUGUCUAACAAACUUGUGAUGCUCAGGAGUACGAUAUAUUUGAUCCGACAAGGAGCGGAACUACAGGGAAACCAAUAGAUGUGAAAGUCAUUGAUCAUAACACGACGACACUAAAACAAAAAUCUGAAUCAAGAUAUAAGACUCACUUCGAUAAAGUAUACUAACACCCAAAAAGAAGAGAGAGAACACACAACAUCAAAUAAAACAACUCAUCUAUCCACGAGCCAAAGCCAUAUGAACUCAGAGACGCAAUAAGACAUUCUUACUAAAAGGGAAAACUUGAUCUAGUGAAAAACAGCACAGACUUGACGUAGUGUGAUAGCUAAGCUUUUAAGCAAGAACCUAUGUUCCACAAAGUGCGGGAUUUGGGGGAAGGGGUAGGACACAAGUUGCAAUUUUACACUACAGAGACAUUUACCAUAAAACCACAAAGAAACCAUGUAAAUAGCACCUUAAAUACCUUAUCAGACCACAGUAGACAGUUGCUUUAGCAUACACUCCCAAGUAGGUAGGGAAAUGACAUCAGCACUGGAGUUUUUCUUUUCUGAACCUUUGUUGCAUGCAACUUGAGAGGUGAAAUCCAGAAUGAUAACAAAGAAGGGACUCAUAAAAUACUUAUUUUAGUUGGUAAGACCAAAAUACAUCCUUUCUCAAAUUAUUUGAGUCUCAAAAAUCUUAAAGACCUAUAAAUUACCAAAAGUAAUUAACAUAUUCCUAGGAAGGCAAUAUAAUUACUUCAAUAUAGAAAAGUGAUUGUUCAACCCUCAGAGAGAUGCCAUCAAUGUAAUCCAAACAAACAAUUAUGCAAUUAUCAGGAUAUGUGCCCACUAGAUGCAUAAAGCAUAAUCAAGAAACUAUGACACUUCUGUCAAAGAUAUCAUUGAAGUGAAGUUGAAGUUAUAUAAUUUGACAAUAAAACUCAGCCCUUAUAACACAUAGGUAAUACUAUUGCAUGGGAAUGUCAAAAAACCAACCUGGCAAUUGCCAUCUCCUGAUACUUUUAGCUCGACCAAGUCAUACAACUGCAAUCUGAAAACCAUUAAAAAAAAUUCCAGCAAAUAAGCAUGGCAAGAGUGAGAGCAGAUUAUUUAAAGUCAAAAGGCUUAGGUUAAUAUUGAGCAAAUGUCAGAGAGAGCUUUUUUCCCAUUAAAUCCGUUCAGAAAUGCAUGCAGAUUGUAAUAUAUUUAUUUUAAGAUAAAGUAAAAAUAGAUCUGGCUCACAACAAAUUAAUUACAUUGAUUCCUGAAAGACAAUAAACUAUGCUUGCCCUGAUUAUACUAAGCAAUUACUGGUUUUACAGCCAAGAUAACACAAUGGCCAACAAAUCUAUAGAAGAAGAGGAAAGGAAAGGCACUCCUAAACUUGCCCAGAUGAUAUUUUAAUUUUUAUCUGGGCAUGGAAAUUUCACUUCCACCUAAGAAGAAGAAAUAAUGAGAAUCAUAAGCAAGAUGGAGCAGCAGCCUUAGCCCUACACAGCAUACAAACAGAUAAUCACAGAAAAUAUAGGUGGACACGUAGGUGGACAUGUCCCAUGCUAACACUAUAGCAAACUUUUCAGGACAAACGUAGGCAAUAAAAAUCAUGCGGACAAAAUCCCUAUAAACAGCUAUAGGUUACAUCCUAGAAUCAUGGUAUCUUGUGUUUGAAGAAAGACAUUUUUAGAAAAAAGAUUUGUGAAAACAGUCCACAAAACUUCAGAGCAACCAGAGCUACAAAAAACAAGAGGCUAGUGAACUAAACAAGUGCUGUAAAAAAACCUGUCUAGCAAUCUUUGAUGAUCAGAGGUAGCUUCAUCAACUGAAGGUAUUUCUCCAUUAAUUCUAGGCACAUGCUGCAAGCAGUGAUGACAAAAGAACAUCAGUUACAAUCCAAAAACAAACUCUGUCAUUUUUAUGUCCCCUGGCACAAUGAUAUUCUGUUUUCCAUUUGUUUACAAUAACCACCACAUCAUUCAUAAUCCAUAAAAUGGGACAUCUCUGUAGUGUAAUGUACAAAAAGAGGAGUACAUACAGGGACGGAGAACAUCUGAUUCAACCUCCUGCCAACUUCUCCAUCAAGAGCAGAUUCAUCUUCUAUCUCUGGGGAACCUGGUUGGUCCUCUGCAUUAACAACAGCUCGUCCUGGGCUGGGGCAUAAUUUAAACAUUCCUGCUUCAUCAGGAUCGUCCUGAUUGCUUUGACAUUCUACAAUUCAUAUACUUGUUUCAUCAAAGUAAUUCAACAGAGUAGAUUGACCAAUUAACAGAAUUUCUGCUCUUCCCAUACCAGAAUUGCAGUGUCUUCUUGAAGAACCAAACCAAUCCUGUGAAAGAACUGAGAUUUGCUGAUGCUCUUCCUCAGCAUGUGAAGAUCCUGAUGUUUCAGCUGCUGCAAGUCGUGAUAGUUCUUCUUGAUAAGCAUGAGCAAUUAUCUCGUCAUUGUACACAUUUGCUUGCAUGGGCUCACAGUAUCCUUCAUCUACAUAUGCAACUUCAGACAAGUCCUUAUCGUAUUCAGUAACAGUAUUGGGACAGCCACUAUCAUUCGGUAUACAGACAUCUAGAUGAUGUAGACCCCACCGAAUGACAUCAGGGUCAUACUCAUAGAUUGCCAUCUUACUGUCCGUAUGCCACAGAUCCCUGUUCCAAACAACAAACAUUUAUUCCAUUAAUUAGUCCCAUGUGAGAAUGUCGUGUUCAUCACAUUAAUUGGCAAGCAUUCCAUGAUACAAGUGAUUCUUCUAGCAUUAACUUCUAGGCUAUUUCAAACAUAAUAAUUUCUCUCAACCAGACCAUAGAAAAACCACUAAUUUGCAAUAUAGAUCAUGGAAAAAAGUUUUUCUUCAUAGGCUUCAGCUUAGUUAAUUUUGAUCAGCUCCCCAAAAACAUGAUAUAGUGGCCUAAAUUAUGUAUACUUAAAUGUGUAAUAGUUCCAACCAUGCAUGAAGCGAAUUAAUCACAAAGCUAAAUAUAGCAAGCAUAUGAAGUAAAUUAUUAGGAUACCAAGCAAUACACUGAGAAAAAUGGGGGGAAAAGUCAUUGGCUUAUUUCAGAUAGCAUUACAACAGUACGAAUCUGUCAAUGUUUUAUUCCUUAUGAGCUGAACAACAUAAACCGGACAAAACUUAUAGACACCAAAACCAGAAAAGCAAACUUCUAUCUAGAGUCCAUAAAAUAAUUUAAACUAGUUUUAAUGUCCAACGAAGAACUUCAAAUUCUUUGACAAGCACCUUAUAAAUAGUGCCUAAGCUGAAUCACAAUUCUUAUAGCCGGAGGCAAGAUUCCCUGUUUUCAUUAAUCUUCAAACUUAUGAGUUGCCUAUACUCAAAUAUCCAGUAAAUGAGUAUAGAAAUGUCCAAUUGACCACGUAGCAAAAUCCAAUCCUACAACAUUUUGCAAAAGAACAUAUAGAUAAUAAUGUAUUCUCAAGAUAGUUGUAUCGCAUUGAGCGCUACAUCCCCAAAAACCAAUAUGAAAACAAAUAAAACAAAAUCCAACUCUGACGUUGUCUGCAACUAUAGAAUUUAACAAUCUAGGGGCAUGGGGGCUGCAGAAGCUAUGAUUAUAAUCCAAUCCUGGCACCACUUGGGUCGACGCUUGCCCUCAUCUUGACAAUUCAAACUAGAACAUGAUAAAAAUCCAAAAACCUGGAAAACUUCCCUACUCUUACAAUCCAAGAUCCCUUUUUCAGCUUAUUGAAAUCCCAGCACACGCACAAAAUGCAAAAAGCCUUGGGAGGGCAAAAGAAAAAAAAAAACCUUAGCAAGAUCUUCUUUUUAGCUUUAGAAAUCCCUGCUAAUCUUCUUUCCUUAACCUAAAUUUCAUUAUUUUCCUUUCCUCUACAAAUUACAAUUCCACAAAAGCAUAUCAGUUGCAUCCAAUUAAGCUUCCCGAUUAAUUUAAAAAAAAAAAAAGAAAGAAAGAAAGAAAAGCUGGUUUAUCAUCACAAACCAUUAAAUAAAAUUACUCAAAAAAAAAGUAGCAAAUCCAACCAUGGCAACAAUCAAAUCUUCAGGAUAUUCAUAUUCGACAGUUAAUCUAGACCACAAGAAGCUUAAGGAAUUUUACUAGUACAAGCAUCUCUAGCAAACUUAGACACCCAGAAACCUAGAACAGAAAAACCUUCCCAAAUUCAAAAUCAUUACAUCCAAUAACAUAUUAAAUAUAAAAAAAAUUCAUUAUCACCUAAAAAAAAAAGAUCAAGAUGCAAACCUCAAAAAGUUAGAAAAAUCGAUUGGCCCGUUCAGACCUCAAAAUCCUCCUUAUAUGAUUGACUUAUCUUUGCCGGAGCGAAAUUUGUGAAUAUUCAAUAUUUGAGUUUGACUACUUUAAUACGCAGAUAGGAUUUGAUUUGGCAUUGAAUGGGAUUCGAAAAAAAGGAGCAGACGCCGCCGCUUUCAUAAAAAGAGCAGCAGUAGCCACGAAUUGAAAAAUGGUCUACGAAUGGGACUGAUUUAGGCGGAAAGGCGGCCAGGGAUUAGACUUUCGCCGUCUGUCUAGGCACUGAUGAGUCCGGAAAAAUCAGUUAUUGUGGGGUCCACUUAUACCUGUUUCCGGUAGGAGGCUUUUGUUUUUUCGACCUACUUUAUUGUUUUUCGCGAGUCGGACACGUGUCGGUAUCAAAAGCUUCUUUUGGGGCAGUUGGUGUCACGUGUAUGCUGGGGUUUGGUCGGCCGCCUUUGUUAUGUAACCUUUUUUGCUUUCUUCUUUUUUAUAUUUAUGGGAAGGGAAAAUAGAAUAGAAAAAAGAAAGGGGUGGACAUUUUAAAAUUCAAGGACCCCAUCAAUGCUCCUAAGAUGAGUGUCAAGUAAACUCUUAUGACAAGUUUAGAAUCUUUCUAUUCACCACAAAGCAAAUAUGAGUAUUUUGUAAUAUUCUUGUGAUUUAAGAAUCAUGGACAUGUUUGAAACCAAGUUUUUUAGCUAUUAAUUUUUUAAUAACUUUAGUUACAGGAAUCCAAAAAAAACUUAUCAAAUUUUUUAACCUACACACUUCAAAAUAUCUAAUACAUAAAAAACUUUCUCUUUUCUUCUUUUUUCUUCCCCACCCCGAUCCACCGCACCUUUAUCGCCGGCCACCACCUCCGCCGCUGCUUCCGACGCCGGCAUUCCUUCUUCUUUUUUUUUCCUUUCUCCCUUUCCCUCUCCCCCUCCGCCUUUGACCGAUCUAAACUGCGUAUUCAAAGUCGAGGUAGACGCAUUCAAAAUCCAAAAAGAAAACAUAGACAAAACGGAAUCACUUUCUUCAGUGACAUAUCUAUGCCAGAAAAAUAGUGCUUAUUCAAAUGUCCCGGGAUCAAGGACAUCAAGACACCAAAAUUUUUGCCCCUCUUCAUCUCACAGCCCCAGCCCAAGCUCCUCCAGCAAUGCCUCUCUUUUCUUUUCUUUUUCUCUCUCUCUCCCCCUCUACUUCCCUCCCCUCUCCCCCUCUCCUCCCCAGCCACCCUCUCCCUUCCCCCAGUCGCGGUACCAGAUCGCAACACGACCACAUUAGGCAAAGGAGAAGGGGGAAGGGGAGGAGAGUAGGAAAGGGGACAAGGGGGGACAGAAAAAGCAAAAAAAAAAAAAAAAAAAAAAAAAAACCAUGGCUACUAGUUCUCUGGCUUCGGGAGAGGAGUAGAGGGGGAGAGGAGAGCAGAGAGGGAGAGGGAGAAGAGGGGAAGAGAAAAGGAAAAAAAAUUAGCUUAACCAUGGCUACUGAGUCUUCAAAGCUGGAGGGAGAGGUGGCGAGGGAGGGAAGGGGAGGGGGAAGGAAGAAGAAGAAGAAGAAGAGAGGAAAGAAAAGAAAAAAAAAUUGGACCAUCUGCUGGUUCUUCAAAGCUGGCGGCAGAGGUGACGGGGGAGGGGGAAGGAAGAAAAAGAAGAAGAAAAAAGGAAAGAAAGGAAAAAAAGAAAGAAAGAAAAAAAGAAAAGGAAAAAAAAGUUUUUCAUCUCAAAAUUUUUUUUCAAAAAACUUCUACAGUACGCUACAGUAAAAUUUUAAACAAAUUUCCAAAAAACUCAGGUUCCAAACGGGGCCCAUAUUUAUGUUUUGGAAUAAUCGUAUGCCAAAGCCAAAUUUUAUCUAAUUUUGUUAGAGUAAAAAAUCUCAACGGCCACUAAACUAUUGGUCAGAUCAUGUUUUGACCAUCAAACUAUUUUUCGUCAGUAAUUGACCACUAAACAACUUAAUCAGUAAACUCGUGACCAUUUAGUCGAUAAUUGCUUUUAAUCUGUAAAAUUAGCAAUUAAUCUGUGAAAUAGGGUCGCGUAAUUGUUGGACAAAAUUACCUGGCACUUUGCCACGUGUACAGCUAAUUUCAUAGAUUAAGAGCAAUUAUCGACUAAAUGGUAACGGAUUUACUGAUUAAGUUGUUUAGUGGCUAAUUACUGACGAAAAAUAGUUUGAUGGUCAAAAUAUGAUCUGACCAAUAGUUUAGUGACCACUAAGGUUUUUUGUCCAUUUUGUUAUGUAUGGAUAUUUAGCUACAUAUGGAUAGAGUUGAAAGAUGAAUUGAGAUAUUUGAUACUUAAAUCAAAUUUGACUUAAUAAGAAUUCAUUUGAAUUUCAUAGUUAAAUUGGAACAGCGUUUUAUGUUAAAUAACUUUUAAGUUUGACAAAAAAUUUGUUUAAAUUCGAUAUGACAAAUAAAUAAAUAAAAUUUUAAACUUGUUAAAAUAAUUAAACAGAUUUAAGCAGUUUUAGUAAAACGUUUGAUUUGAUUAAAAUCAUUUGUACCCUAAACAUGACUUAAUCAUAAGCGCGUUUGCUAUCCUUUUUUCAAAAUCAAAACUUUGCGUUACUAAAGUACCCACCUAAAGUGGCUUAAAAUGUAUUCCUAAUUUUGGCUUCUCAAUUGGUGUCUGCCAAAUCAAAUAAUAGAAGUGGGACUCCUCGAUUUUAUGAUCUAUUAAGUGGACGAAGCUCAUAUGGGAAUUCUUGCCAUUUUCUUCUGGCAGAAGAAUCAUUCUCAUAGCACAACACGUCUCUAACAAAAAAUUUUUUUUUUUUUUUUUAAAAAAAAGAUAACCCGAAGAUGCCGAAGAGGAUGGAGGAUAUUUGGGCUCAAACAGGGAAAGAGGAUUAAUUUUUGGGCUCUACGAGCUGACCUUUUAUUGGGGCUUUAAACAACGAUAAAAAUAUAUUGUCCCAUUAGUACAGCCCAAAAUAAAAUACUUUUCCCAAAAAGCCCGUUACUCCACCUGCAAAACUUGCAGUCACUUCUCCAUCUUCUUCCUCUUCUUCAUCUUCACUAGGGCUUACAAACUCAAGAAAGGAAAUAGCAGCAACAAAAAUGGCCUCAACAUUUAUGCAACAAUUUACGAGGAAGUCGAAAACCGUAGCUAAGCGAUCGACAAAGAAGUACUUAGAGGAAGCGCUUUACAGAAAGCUCCUGAAAGGCGGGAGCGAAGAAGAAAGCGUGAGGCAACAGCUGAACGAGUUCUUGAAAUCCCAUAAGUCCGCAUAUAAAUGGGAGGCGGAUCAUUCCCUCAAGCUCCUCCGACAACGCAAGCUCUAUGGCCCUGCCCUCAAGGUCUCUUCCUUCGUUUCCUUAAGCCCUAUACCCUGUAACUCCGCUUCUGUAAAAUGAUUCUUCUAUGCAUCCUUGAUUUGGAGGAUAUAAGAAAUGGUUGCAGGAAAUUUUUUUUUUUUUGUGAGUUGCAUUGCAUUUCUUGUAUGUGGGUUCUCUCAGUGUCGGUUUAAUUCUCAUUUGGGUCAGUAAAAGUAGGGAACUUUAGGAUCAAUUGGUGAUGGUGAUUAUGACAGUUGGGAUUAGGUGUAGUAAGAAGGCAGUUAUUUUACUUUUCCUUGGAGUAUAUGCCGUUGAAUAAAUGCUAGAUAUGUUGGUUGAGAAAAAGUUAUCAUUUUUGUUGGGCAUUGCUUUGUAGGUUUUAUAUUGAAGAACAAAUUUUUAAUUGGUAAAAGAGAGAGGGGGAAAUUGUUUUGGCAUUUUUUGGUUGAUAGGUUUUCAAACACAACUGUGGAAUUACUCAUUAGGAAAUGUAAGGCUGGUGCUCGGAUAGUCUGGUUAUAGGUUCUGAAUUAGCUACACAUCAAAUUUCCCGUCUUGUUGCAGCGCCUACUCUGCUACAUCUUCCUCCAAUUGUUGCCAUGGAAACAUAAAAAGCUGGUCUCAGCUUUUAACCUUCAUGCAAAAGGGGGUAAACAAUCUUUCAGGCUCAGACUUCCAGUGUGGUUAUCAGCUAGGCCCGACUAUCAUAUAUUUCAUGGUAUCAAUAGCCCGUUUUCUUGGGAGUUGCGUUUAACAAUGUUGCUUCUUGUACUAGGAAGUGCAGCCAAUGGAAAAGAAAACGAAUUAGUGUUCCUGCAAGCCUGUGUCCCAAGGUUUGUCAAGGACAAUUCAUUUGUAUUAAGAUGUAGUGUGCAAUUGGUCAUGGGCACGAUCAAGCAUAAGUCUUCAUCUUUAAUACCAUAGUACUUGCUGUUUAACUUGGUUGAUUACUGCUGAAGUAAUCUUCCCUGUUCUCUUGAACUUAGUGAUUGUCCAUGUUUUAUGUACUGAAAAUUUUUCCUCAAUGCUUUCUGAUAUACAGCUGUCAGAAAGUAUGACAAAGAGGGGAAUGAACAAGACGGUUAGUGAUCAAGCUAUACAUAUCGAUCUUAUUGCAAAAGUUAGAGGGAUUGCAUCAGCAGAAACAUACUUCAUCAAUUUGCCUGAAGCAUCAAAGAAUCAUUUAACUUAUGGUGCUCUUUUGAACUGUUACUGUAAAGCCUUGAUGAUUGACAAAGCAGAGGCUCUAAUGGAUAAGAUGAAGGAACUUAAUUUAUCAUUAACCUCAAUGCCCUAUAACAGCUUGAUGACCCUGUACACAAAAAUUGGGCAGCCUGAGAAAAUCCCAUCCAUAAUCCAAGAGAUGAAAGCUAGUGACAUUUUGCCUGAUUCUUAUACCUAUAAUGUCUGGAUGAGGGCUCUUGCUGCUGAAAAUGAUAUUACUGGGGUGGAGAGGGUCAUUGACGAGAUGAAGAGGGAUGGUCGAGUCUCUGGAGAUUGGACAACAUAUAGCAACCUGGCAUCAAUUUACGCUGAUGCAGGCUUGUUUGAUAAAGCAGAGAAGGCACUCAAAGAAUUGGAGAAGAAAAAUGCUCGCCGAGAUCUUUCUGCAUACCAGUUCUUGAUCACAUUAUACGGCCGCACUGGAAAUCUGCUCGAAGUUUAUCGUGUGUGGCGGUCUUUAAGGCUGGCUUUUCCUAAGACAGCAAAUAUAAGCUAUCUGAAUAUGAUUCAAGUGUUGGUUAACCUCAAUGAUUUACCAGGUGCUGAAAAAUGUUUCAGGGAGUGGGAAUCUGGCCACCCAGCUUAUGAUAUUCGUAUUGCAAACGUCCUUAUAGGAGCUUAUGCUAAACAAGGUUCAUUGAAGAAGGCUGAAGAGCUAAAGGAACGAGCCAGGAGGAGUGGGGCCAAGGCUAAUGCUAAAACUUGGGAGAUUUUCCUUGAUUACUAUCUCAGAAAUGGGGAGAUCAAACCAGCCGUAGAGUGUGUCGAGAAUGCAAUUAUAACUGGUAGAGGAGAUGGUUCUAAGUGGAUCCCAUCCUCCACAGUUGUAAGAGAACUUAUGGAACAUUUUGAGAAAAAGAAGGAUGUUGAAGGUGCGGAAGGUUUUGUGGAGAUUUUGAAGAAGGCUGUGGAUGAAUUGGGUGUUGAUGUGUUCGAAUCAUUGCUUAGGACAUAUGCAGCUGCUGGAAGAACUAGUCCUAUCAUGCGCCGGCGGAUCAAGAUGGAGAAUGUGGAAUUAAGUGAGCAAGGUAGGAAGCUGCUAGAUGGCAUCUCUGUGGAGUGACAGCUUUCACGUAUAAUUUUCUCAUAGAAUGUUACCUGAAGAGGUGAGGGAAAGGAUUUGCAUUUCAACUUCUUAUCAAAUAGCUGAUGUCUAAGAUGUCAGCUUAGAUGCUGAUUUUUUGGAGGAGGACAUUUGUAGGACUUCUUUCCUUGGGCACUGGGGCCUCUGGAUGCUUAGAGAAUUCUUGGAAACUUUAUGGAGCUACAGAACAGCAAUUCAGUGACAUAAAAUAAACAGCUUUUGGCGAUGUAUUUUUGGUAGCUACAUCUGUAUUGACAUCUGAAGGUUCUGCCCAGUUGAAAUGGCCUUCAGAAGGAAAAUGGAAACAUGUUUCGAACGAACACAAUUACUUUAACAUGGAUUUAUUUUGGGGAUUCAUCUCAUUUUUUCUCUUUACUGUCGUUCUUUUCUCCUCCUCCUCGCUUGGGAGGAGGGUGGGUGGAACACUGGUAUAGGGGGGAUGCACAGGAUGAAGAUAUUGAAUCUUGUGAUUCCUAAUGUAUCUUGAUUGCCCCCUUAAUAGCUCAAGCAUGUACUUUUGAAUUUUGAUAGACGUGUUGAUUGUCUGGAUUUUCAGGUUUUACCUCUGUGCUCUGGAUUGGAUGAGAAAGAUCCCAGUAAGGAUUUGCUGAGGGUAUCAGAGAGUUUUAUUUCUGAUUUUUGUUCUUUUACUCGGAUAAAAGGGAGACAUAUUAACAGUUAAAAGAUGAGGGCGCAAGUGGAGCUUUUAAUAGAUGAAGCUAAAUUGCACUUAGAAAAGAAGCUGCUGACUUGAUGAGCUUCAUCUAAUUGAAGAGAAAAUCUGCUCUAGUUUUUCUUUUUUUUUUUUACCUUCAAGUAGCCUUCACAAGCUUAGGUUUCCAUGUUCUCCAAAGCAACCAUUUAUUUUCUCCAGUUACAUUGUCCACAAAUCUUCUCUUUGGUCCUUGUACCUUGGAUUUUUCUUCAAAAUGUUUCACACUUGAACUAAUGGGACCUUGAGGACUUCCAAUCACACUACUUUCUUCCACGAUCUUGUUUACGAUUUCCAGAACUUCACUCAUUCUCGGACGAUGUUUGGGAUGCCUUACUAAACAUUUGUUGGCUGUAGCGGCUAGCUUUUGCGCAGACUUCAAAGAAUAUUUCCCAUCUAGCCGAGGAUCCAAAAUCUGCUCAAACUUUUUAAUGUCUGCGAGAUGUGGCCUGACCCAUUCCAGCAGUUUCUGCUCAUUUUUGGGUCGGUUUCUGUCCAAAGGACGUCUGCCAGUGAUAAGUUCGUAGAGAAAGACUCCAUAAGCCCACACAUCACUCUUGGAUGUAAGACGCCCCGUUUGAAUAUACUCCGGAGCAGCAUAUCCAACGGUACCCACUACCUGUGGUUUCCAAAACAAGUAAACAUCACAAUGCAUGGGAUAAAAUGCGAAAUACUUGAGCUCAUAUUCAAGAACUUGUACUUAAAAGAGUCAGAAGAUGGAUAGAGCAAUUGAUCCCUUUUUUAUGGGUUUUAUUCUGGAAUUAAGUAUUAGUAUAUGACUACCAGGCAGAGGAGGGAAUUGGGGUGGCUUGUGCAGCUCUUGUUACAUUCAUACACUAGCGAUGCACUAUCAACAUACCGCAGUGGAGACAUGGCUAAAACCAUCAGAAGGUCCCAGCCUGGCUAAUCCAAAAUCUGAAAGCUUUGCAUUCCAUCGGUCAUCCAAGAGAAUGUUAGAUGAUUUGAAGUCUCUGAAGAUAAUCUGCACCACCAAAAUUAUAUACUCCAUCAGACAAUUACAGUGAUAAAACUGUGCAAUCAGAGAGAGGUCAAUCUCUCUCUCUAUAAGAUGAUUCGCAACUGAAAUUUUUCCUAGAAUAAGCACAGAAAAUCUACUUCUUUUAGUUGGUCUUUCAUCUCAAACAAGCUUGCCGGUGCAACCUUGACAUGUUGAGUAGAUCACAGCUUAAUUACGCAUCAAGUAAGGAAAUUAUAUGGCCUGAGCUUUGUAAACAGCCCAAGGACAUGCAACAAAUGCCUCUUUGACCUCUUUUAACAAGGAACUUACUAUGUUGGUCUAAUACCGGACACAAAGUAAUGAUGUUACUAGAAAGGUCAUGUUUAUUUGUAUUUCGGAAGUUGAACAUUGAUUCAAGUUAAAAACUGGCUUAUUUGUUUCUAGGCUUUUAAAUUGCAAGUUGUCAGAAGAAGAUAAUAAGGCUUGGAGUCAAAUUCUUGGAUGGACACGAGAAGAAAGGCUGUAUGGCUGUGUUGUUUACAGAACAUAUUUGAUCUUGCACAUUUUUCAGGAGAAAGAACGAAUUCAAGUCACUGCUAAACAACCAUAACAACGGUCGGUGAUUGUAGCAAGCUGAACUCAACUACUCUAUACUUGAAAGUAGAAGGCUUUAGAAUCUGGGAGAGUAUUAUUAGAUCAUGUUGAAAUUUAGAAACUGUAGAGAACAACACACACCUGAAAUUCCAUUCCUUCAUGAAGGUAUGCUAAUCCCCGUGCAGCAUCCUGUGCGAUCCUCAGUCUGGUGGCCCAUGGCAGAGGUGUCUGAAAUCGACUGAAUAAAUGAUCUUGCACACUUCUGUUGGGCAAGUAUUCAUACACCAAAAGGCGUUGGAUUCCUCUUUCAUCAUCCUCAGCACAAUAGCCAUACAGUUUGACAAGAUUUGGAUGUUCAACAAUGCCAAGAACGUUAACCUCUGUCACCCAUUCCUUAUGUCCCUAUAUACACCAAAAGGGAUCAAGAUAGUUAUUUUAUGGCUAAGAUUUUGCAGCGAUGACAAAGAACAUCAAACGAUACCUAAGAAAAGAAAUCUGGUUAGGGUAACACUAUAGCCAAGUGAAUUCGAGAGCUGUGAAAACCUAAUGUAAGAUGUUGACGAAACAGAAUGAAUUACUAGGGAUUAAAAAUAUUUGUGAUUGUUCUCAAGUAUGUAGUGGGAGAUCUAAACCUUGAUUUUGCUAGGAAGGAUAACAUGAGAUGACAAAUUUGAGUUAGGCCACCAAUAACCAACUAAACAAUAUACAUACCCAAUCUACGAUCCUCAUCAAAUGUACAUGAUUGAGGAUUCAUGAUUGUUUUUAUCUUCAAGGAAUUCGAGGUAAAAGGUGAACUUCAAGUUUCACAUUUGCAAUCUAUACUAUAUGCGCUUUUGGUAUUCUUCCAUUCUUUUCAUUGUGAACUAACACUUCACGUCGCACAAAGCUAGGACAAUGAUCAAAAUUCUAGCACUAUCAGUUAAAAUGCUGGGAGGAGGAUUUCACCUGCAAUCCCCUUCUGCUGAGCUGUUUCACAGCAAUAUCAAGUUUUUUGUCCAAAUCCUGUACAUCCCUUAUGACACCCCUGUACACACCACCAAAACCUCCUUCUCCAAUCAUUAGGGAUCGGCUAAAAUUCCUUGUUGCUGUCUUGAGCUCUGUAAAUGAAAAGACCCUGAGGUUGCUUGGUCUUGGAGACGCGCUUGUAAGCGACAUACCCACAGAAGAUCCUGUGCUGAUGUCCGAGACAUUUAGAGAAUUAUAUUCAGAACCUGAUCUCCUCACCUCAGGAUCAGUUGAUGUUGAAGUAGAGGAGCGAACCGAAAUAGACUUAGUAGUCUUUGGCUCAUCUUUUCUGUCCGUGUUUGAGAAUGAGAAACACCUCAUAGCCCUUAAUUUUGCCAUUUCUCUAACUGCAAAUUGCAAAUCUCUCUAGUCAUGGAACCAUUAAAAAACAAGCGUUGCACUAGAUUUUUACAUCAAUUUGUAAAUUUUCGCCUUAUCUGUAAUUUUAAGAAACUCUUUAACUAAGAGAAUCGAUGAAGUCAGUAAAAUUCCAAUACAAGUUUGUAGUGCAAAUGCAAAAACUUCUCUUUGUUCUGAAUAAUCAACACAGAUAUUCCAAAGAUUAUAAGAGGGAAUAAGAAAAAAAAGUUCGUACAAUUUGAUUAGAAAAGCUCUUCUAUCCUAGUGAAUCACCAUUGCAGAAUCAACAGAUUCAGUUUGUUUGCGCACAACUGGAAUUUACAUGAAUUAUGCCCUGCCAUUACUUUUGCCUUAUUUUGGGCCCUUUUAAUAAACACUACUGCAAUGGUCCGGUCUGCUUCCAGAAUUACCAAAUUGUUUUCCGUCAUUGCAUCACUUCCUUAUAAGUUCCUUCCCAACUAAAGGUUAAUUCCUUAAAUUGCAUCUACACUUGUCCCGCAAAAUUCUUGAUCAUAAUCUUAUCAGGUUCAUAGAUUUCCUAGUCAGUUAUCAUUUACAAAUAUAUAGAAGUUUAAAUCCAUUUGAGGAACUAGACAAUGAGAAGACAACUUUCACAUGCAACUAUGCACAUAUGGACCAAACACGAACAUGAAGAAGUAGAAGAUGGAAGAAAUAUACAUACCUCCAGGUAAUAACAGGACAAGAAUAUUGUGAGUGCUAACAUUCAAGAAUGUCCAUUUUCGACAGGUUAUAAGAGGAGCCCAGAAUCCAAAUAAAGGCAGUGGGUCAGAAAAUCAAGAAGCAGAAGGAGAACGAGCGUCCCAUGAUCUAAGGAAGUCAAUGCUGGGCAGCUGGAAUUCAGCUCACCAACCAGGUUAUCCCCAUUGAAAAAAGACAAGAGGGAGGGGGACAAAAAGGGAAAGAAAGAAAGAAAGAAAAAUAGACCCCAGAAAAAAAAGUGGAAGGAAAACAGAAAGGCUGGACACAAUUGAUGAUUAAUGCUUUAUCCUAAAGGAAGUGCAGGACCGGUCUCCAGUGGAAUUUCUGAGCUAAGAAGUUGAAUUCUGCGUAUAUUGUACUCAAUCAAGAGUUGGAUAGUGAUUGUUUUGGAAGACGCAAAACUCAAGACGAAAGUACACCUGUAGUCGUAGUAGUAGUAGUAGUAGUAGUAGUAGUAGUAGUAGUACAGUUAAAGAGUUCAAAUCAAAUGCAAGAGAACUUGUUCUUGGAUUCACAUUUCUUGGAUGCGGUUCUUGGUUACUUGUUACAUCAAUAAUGUUCACCAACUUAAUCGUACUUGUUCACCAUCUGGCCGUUGGAGGAUGCGCCAGCGGACAUCAAAUUUGUACUGCAAAUGAGAACCGGAUUUGGAAUUGCAUGCUAACGUUCCAUCUAAUUUCCAUGAAUUGUGUUAAUAAACAAGAAUGUUGAACUGAAAUGAUUGAACCCUUUAUUUUGACUACUAAACUAAUGUAUAGUCAUAUGAAAAUGGAUGCAAGAAAAUGAAAUUUGAGUUCAAAGGUUUUCUCUUUUUUUUUAAAAAACCCUCUUUACCUGUCCAUUGUGGUGCUUGACAGGCAAGCAGUACAUGUGAUCCUACAUAUGAAUAUAUAUGAUCUCAAUCUCUUAUUUAUGUGCAAUAAUGCCACAUGUUCGUUUCCGAUGAAGCUCUAAAACAGCUUUUUAGUUUGGGGAAUUAGUAAUUAAUAGUUUGCAUUUAGAUAAGCAUAUGUGCCGGAGGAUAAUUAACUGAAAUGACCAGGUGUAACUUGCAAGAUGUCUUGUCCGGUUAACAAUUCACCUACUUAAGAGCUACGGAAUUAGGUUAGAGAUGAGCUAGCAAACCAUGCAUUCUUUAUUAAAUCAUUCUUUGAUUGGAAGUUUUCGUUUAAUCAAUCAUUUUGUACAAUCUACAUUUAGGUAAUUUUAGUCCAUAACAAAAUGUAAUUUUAUAUCUGCACACAUCAUAAAUUAAGAAUGUUGAAAGCAAGACUAUCGUGAUGCAUACGUGAUACAACUAUCUUUCUUCUUUUUUUUUUCUUGUAAUAACGACAAAUGAGGAGUAAACUAUCAAAUCAGAUAAAUGCAUUACAACACUCUCUUCUUUUAAAAAAUAAGAAAAUAUAGUGCUUCCUUAUUAUAAUGUAAAGAGCCGAGUUCGGAUCCCCGAACCAGUACAUGAAAAGGGACUGUUUCUGACCAUUAAACUACGCAGAUAAUUUACAACAAUGACAAAUGAGGGGUGAAUUAUUAGAUCAAACAAAUGCAUUACUAUUUUUUUUUUAAAAAAAAAAAUAUAUAUAUAUAUAUAUAGUGCUUCCUUAUUUAAUGUAUUAAAAAAAUAUAUAUAUAUAUAGUGCUUCCUUAUUUAAUGUAAGGAGCCGAGCUCUUAUCCCCAAUCUAGUAAAUGAAAAGGGGCUACUGUUUCUUCUGACCAUUAAACUAACUCAGAUGCAUCAAUCUACCACUUUUCCAUUCUGUAUAUUCUAGAAGUCAAACAACUGUUGCACUGUGUGCCAGUAAGAUUGAAAAGUUCACGCGGCUGACAAAGGAGUGCCCACGUUUUGGGAUUUUGUGAACUGCAAACGUAAUGCUUAAUAAAAAAAAAAUUAGGUCAGACUUAAAUGGAUGGCUUGUCGAUUUUUUCCCCUGUGUAUAUUUGACCUUUGAUUAUUAUUUUUUUGGGGGUGUUAGUAAAGUAAUGAAGUGGUGUUGAUGAGAUGAGCAGGCAUCCGCAUCACUGUUGUUGAUACUCUUGGUCUUGGGACAUAUAUAUAUAUAUGUGUGUGUGUGUGCGCCAUUUUUUUGGAGUGCCUGAAUAGAUAAUGAUGCCCUAUCUAUCCGACCUUUUUGAUGAUCACUUUUAUGUUUAAAUGCUAUAUGAAAUUAGGUGAGCAAAUUCUAUGAUUUGCAUAGAUUGGACUGUAAAUCAAUGUCACUAUUACAGUGUUUGCAUUCCUCAAAAGAAACGAAUUAUGUGUCCAAAAAGAAGAAGAAGAAGAAGGGGGAAAAAGUAUGACACAAUUACGGAAUAAAUAUCUUUUAUUUGGAGAAAAGAAAAUACUGAGGGGAAUCAAGGGAUAGUGGUAAAAGAAGAUAACACCGAUUAUUCUUCUCACUUUUGUUAUUAGGUUUAGAGAUGGCUAAGUCUUACAAGGAGAAAAAGAGAAUGGAAAGGAUUUGAGAGCUAGAUAAGGGAAUAUAAAUCUAGCGAUUAUCCAAUUAAUACUUUUUGGAUAAUUUUUUUUUUUACACUAGCAAAUUUAGAUCAAUGUCACAUAACAUGAAUUGAAAUUUGAAUUUCAAAUCAUACACACGUGGCAUACAUUUAAAAUUAAAUCACACUGACGAAUUGGGAUUUAGUAACUUGUUACUCUUUUUUCUUCUUUUAUUUUCUUCAUUUUUUAUACCCUUUUUUCUUCUUUAUUUACGGUUAAAGAGAAUUUCAAUCACACAAAGUUGGGCUCUCGUUGCCACGUCCCAUUAAACGAUGAGGAAGCGGUGACGGGUUGUCAGGCCCACGAUCUCUACGAAUUUGUGGACAAAGCCCGCUGGAAUCAGAGAGUUUGAGCGGCGAUCCGAAUUGGUCUGUUACUUUGGUUUCCACAACAGCCAAUUUUUUUUUUUUUUUAAUUUUCUUUUAAAACUACAAAAUUGUUCUUUGUCCCGAGAUCCAAAUGAAACGUUAGGCACAUUAACAGGGCAACCUUGAUUCCCUUAAUUCGAAUGGAUUUCUAUUGAAAUAUAAGAAAAUUCUAUGAUCCUUCUAGUGAAUCACUCCUUUCAUUUUUAUCUCUUAGUCGUAAUAAUGAUUUCAAAAUUUAAAUGAUUAAAAUUAAUACAAUCUAAGAGCUCAAAAAUACUUAUUUCACUAUUUAACAAUAAAUAUAACUUGAAACUAUGAUACUCAAUUGAAACUUGUGAACUCUUCUUGAAAUUCAACCUUCGUUGAUUGGGGAAGAUUGGGAAAGAUUGCUGUGUUCUAAAGUAUGGAGUCCCAACCCAUCAGAGAUGUGAAGCGUAAAAAGUAUUUUUAUGACUGUUGCUACAUUUAGAUGCAACAUUUUAAGUCGAUUAAUUAGAUUUGGAUAGACAUCCCCUUAAGGGCGCCUUUGGGAGUUGAGGAUUUGAGCGGAAGAGAAAGGGAAAGAAAAGAAAGCUUGAUUUUCUUUUGUUUGGUAGUUUUAAGUAGGAAAGAAAAGAAAUGAAAUAGGAUGAUGAAUAGUGAUCAAAAUGUUUCCUCCCAAAUUGGAAGGAAAUGGAGAGAAAGUUUGGAGAAAGUUUGUUAAUUUUUCUAAAAUGCGAAUUUUGUCCUUAAAAAUGCCUUGAACAAAUAUUUAAUGACUUCCAUAUCCAAAAUCAUUCCACUAAUUCUCAAAACUCCCAAACAACAUAACAAUCUCUUCUCUUCUCUUUUCUUCUCUCAUAACUUAAGCUUUCCCUUCUUUUCUUUUCUAUCCUAAACUCCCAAACUAAGCCUAAGACUCAGGCUUCAGUUUACACUUUUUUUUUUUUAUUGGAAAGUACUUGAUCAACAGAUAUUGCCCUCUCAAGCAGGCACCCUUAAACAGUUGAAUUCGUCAACCCCUUAUUAUUUUUGGGUCUGAAACGUUUGUCCAUAUGAUUGACAACUUAAAUGCAACAAAGUCAAAUGAGAUUAUUGCCAAGCAACUCAAGGGUGCAUUUAUCUGAACUUGCAAGCAUUCAAAUCAAUAAUCAUUUUCGCUGCAAUAUGUGAAGUCCAAGCUUACCACUCUCCUACAAGAAGAGAAGAGAAGAGAAGAGAAGAGAAGAGAAGAGCGAGAGAUAAAAUUCUUAGGAUAAAGUCAUCUUCGGUUUGGAUUGCUACUUUUUGGAGUUCUAUUAGAAAAAAUCACUGUAGCGAUUUGAUAUAUGUAAAAUAUGAGCGAUUUCUUCAGCUCAAUGAACAGUAUGGUACAAGAGUUUCUUGUACUUGGCCUUUUCAGACCAAGCGCUUUCUUUAAAAAAAUCUUUUCCCCUAAAGUAAAAAAUUUUUAAUAGAAAAUUACAAUAGAAACACACCAGCUAUAGUUUGAAAACUCCAGAUAGGAAGCAUACCGUUUAGGCUGAGGAAGCAUGAAUCUGCUCAAGAAUAAAGUCACACGGUGAAAUAAAAUCCUUAGAUCCUUUAUAGAUGAGCAUUACAUAUGCCAAAACAAAAGCAAACGUUCAGAGAAAAGAAUGUAGGUAAAUGGUGCCAGUUGUGUAUAGAAUUCGAUCACUACUAGAGUCUGAGGCAAGGUUUUUUGGUAUUGGCAUAGAAACUUCUAACAAUAUGAUUUUUAAAGUUUCAUUUUCUACAAAAAAAUAAUCCACAUUUUCGAAGUUCAAAGCUAUCAUAUUCAUGUUGUCGGGUAUCUUUUGAAAAUAAUGCCAUCUUAAAAUGCUGAUCGUCUUUAAAAAAAAAAAAAGGAAGCUCUUCUGGAGAACGAAAUCUUGGGGAAGUCAAUGAAUCAUUUCUAUCUUUACUUUACCCACAAUGACAAGCUAAAGCAAUGAAUUAGUCCAAAUAAAACUGUCAGCUACGAAAAGGAAUUUAUAAUUUUUUUUUCUCAAAGAAAAGGAAUUUAUAAUAGAAAAUUGAAAAUCUUGUUUCCUAAAACACAUUUGGUAGACCACCUCAAAGGUUCAAAAUAGAACCAAUUAUUCCAUGCAAUAAAAAAAAAAGGAAGAAGUUUUCUUGUCUAUAGACACAAAAAAAUCGUCCUAUUCUACCAUCCUCAUCUCUCUUCCUAGUCUUCCCAUCGACAUCCUUAAUUAUGAAAAUUGUUAAUGUAUUAAUCUCUUUUGCACCUUAAUCAUUUCGUUGCUUCAAGAAUUCAGUGUAUGUGGUACCUUAAAACGUAUAUACCACGAUUAAUUAUUUGUUGAUUUUGCUGCAUUCUUUUGGUUUUUUUACUAAUGCAACUUGUCCCCAGUGCUGUUUACUAGUACUACUAUUAUAUUUUGCUUCCUCAACUUGCUUCUUUUAAGUUGACAAGUGCUCCAACCAUAUUGAGUGCAGAAUUGAAUGUUUACAAGAUUUACCAAUAAAAAAAAAAAGAAGAGACAGAGAGAGAAUAAUAAUAUUUGAUGGUCCAUAUGUUGGAAGAUAGCCUAAUGGGGAACCCUUGUCAGCAAAAGAAGGGAUUACACUAUAAUGUACCUUGUCACGGUUUGAAAUCUCAAGAAUGUAACAUAAACGGAGAAAGGAAAAAGAAUAGGGCAAAAAGAAGGUAACAUCAGCAUGUUGGUACAAUAAUCAAGCAACCUAGGGUUUAGAACAAAUUAUUGCAAGUAAUUUAAGGAACAAAAAACGCAAAGAAGAAAAAUUUUAAAAAUAUACAAUGACGAACAACACUAUAUAAUUCUUAACGCUAAUAUAAAUUGGUUCACUUGGCAAGAAUGAGCUACUUUUUCAUAAAAGGUAGUGUAUUCGAAUUUCAUUGUCGAUGUGAGAAAUGCAUUAAUGAAUGAUCUAUAAGAAUUUCUCUCAACAAUUUAUAGUUUCGAAAGCAAAUUCUUACUCACAGUAGUGAUCGGAUUCGAACCCAUCCAAACUUUUUCUUAAAAAAAAAUAUAACCUUGACAUAAUUUACAUGUCGUGUUGUGACCAGUAUCAUUGGAUACACACAACGUUGUGAUUAUAAAGAUGCACGCAAGUUAAUUUGUCAAAAUGUAUUCAAGCCGUAUCAAUUGCCUUUACCACAUGCUGCAAACUCUUCUUCCUUGAUAUUUCACCUCUGGCCCAUAACCCUUGGGUUCCUCAUUUUCUUGGACAUUGUUUUGACUCAUUCUCUUUACAUUUGUCCUCCUGGACGGUAUCAUUAACUUUGUUCUCCAUUUGUAAGUGUCAAGAAAAGCUAACAAAGUUAUUACUUUUUUUUUUGGAAAGUGCUAACAAAGUUAUUCAAACGCUCUUGCCUUGUCUGCUUCGAAUAAAACUUACCAACGAGGAUAGAAAAUCCUCUGUAAUUAAGUACAGGAAUUUUUAGCAAAGCAGAUAAAAUUGCUGCAAAAACAAAUACUACUAUCCUGCUGUGUAGCAGGACUGCCAACAGUUUCAUAUGAAUGCCGGCGGAUCCCUUUCAGAACUCACAGUUUUUUGUAUGAGUGUUUCGAUAAAUGGACCCUGCGAAGACACUUCAAAAGCCGGCAACUUUUGAAGUGCUCCGCAGCACUUAACUACUAAACCCCCCAAACCCCCCCAAGCGAUGUGGGAACUUAACCCCACAGGGUGCCCUGCUGCUAAGAAGUAAAGACCCCCCAGACUCCCCGAGACAGGUUUUUCCCUUUCAGAACUCACAGUUUUUUGUAUGAGUGUUUCGAUAAAUGGACCCUGCGAAGACACUUCAAAUGCCGGCGGAUCAUUGCCCGUUAAGACAUAAAGACAUGUUCUUUUUGGGACCCACUUCCAACUCCCAUUUCUUCCCAACAUUUCUUCCCCUUAUUUAUACCACCAAGGUUUAUUCUCACCCUCCAUCUUUAAUCUCGCCGCCUAACCAGCUAAUUUGUCCGUCUCUCAAGACACCCUUUUUGAUAUUAUUUGCUGGGAUUGACUAAGAAUUCCGGAAAAUCCCUUCUUCUAGCGAGAAAAAUAAAUAAAUAAAUAAGAAAAAGACAAUCUUGUAGAAUGAGCAGAGAAAGAAAACCCAGAAAAUUUGUCAAAUUCUUUAGCACUAGUAGGAUCACAUUGGCAGUUUUAGUAGUUGUGAUUUUGCAGUUGAGUUGGGUGCAGCUGGUACAAUGCCAGAACUUUGAUGACUAUACAUCUGGAAGUGGAAAAGAUUUUCCGGUGGAUAAUCCGGAAUUUGUCAAGUAUUUUACUCAAGUUGCUUACAGCAGGCUAUCCAAUCUCACUACGCUUUUGCUCUCCAGUCAAUUUGCUAACAACUAUAGCUACUGUGUUAAGGAUCCGUAAGUUUACUAGCAUGGCUCUGUAUUUCAGUUCUCUUUCUUGUUGAAGUUCUAUUUUAUACAACUACUUGUGAUUUUGGUUUGUUGAUUGUUUUGGUUCUGUAGGAAAGCUGAAUGGAACAGGGCGUUUAACUUUUCCGACAAUUUGGAUUUUGUUAGUAACUGCAUUACCAAUCUCAGAGGUAAAUAAAUGUUGAAUGAGCUAGUUUGGGUUUAAAUAAGAUGAGCUUGCCGUAAAAAAUAAUGAUAUUUGGUUUCAAAUUAAUCUGGGAGCUAAGUAGUUUCAAGAAGUUGACAGCUUAAUAACUGAUAAGGCACUUGGGAUUUGUUGUAGGAUGUUUCUUUGAAUUUAGAUGCAGUUGACUCUAAUGCUGAAAAUUAUUACGCAAUACUAAUACAAAUGAUUAUCUGAUUCUGGAAUCUGGAUAAAAACAAAAAGGGAUUCCUUUAAACUUUGUUUUAGGUAUAAAAGUACUGCUGCAUCAAAAUCAAAAUCUCGGAUUUGAAAAUAUGCUUUCUAUUUAGUUAUUGUUGUGACGAAGCUCAAAAAAUAUAACUUUUUUUACCUAGCAUCUGCUAAUUGUUUAUGAAAGUGUUAAUCAUCUGCUAAUUGUGCUCAAUAAUAUGACUAGCUAUUGCUCAAUGUUUCUGUUCAUAACUGUUACUUUUAGUAGAGGUUUAUAACAUAUCGACAUCUACUAUAUAAUUUAUUAAAUCCAUUGGAAUGCCAUAAUUGAACAGAACUCCAUUAAGCUCAUCAAAAACUUGUCACAUAUAGAGGAAGUUUAUUAGUUGGCAAUUGUCACUGAAACUCUCAGUUUCAAGCAGAUCAAUGAAGAAUUAUGUCUCCCAUGGGGAUUUGCAGUUUCCAGAGCAUUUUCUUUUCAGCUGGAAACUUAAAGUAUUUUGGUCCAUCAUUUGUCGAUUCUAAUUAUCAUUUGUGCAACAGGAGACAUCACUCAGCGAAUAUGCACAGCUGCAGAGAUAAAAGCCUACUUCAACAGCAUCCAAAACUCAAAUGCUAUAAAACCUAAUGGAAACUGCAAUAGGACAUCUUGGGUUUCUGGUUGUGAGCCUGGAUGGGCAUGUGGCGUCAACUCAGAUCAGCCAAUUGAUUUAAAAAAUUCUCGUGAUAUACCAGUCAGAACUUUGGACUGCCAAUCCUGCUGCGCAGGUUUUUUCUGCCCACGUGGCAUCACUUGCAUGAUACGUAAGUAUGCAAGAAAGUUGUGAUCCUUUUAAAGCUAUUCUUGUGAUUGCAACAGACUAUAAGCUAUAGUUCUGGUGAUCAUAACGAGAUUUAAUUUGUGAAUUCUUUCACUUAAGCUUCUUUCUUAAGCAACCUUAGAAAAUAGUGUGCUUCUAGUAAUCUUCUGCAUACACUGGAAAUGCUGUUAACUCUUGUUUUAGUUUACGUACUAUAUAGAUGUUGGAGUGUACAGAGCCAUUUUAACAUCCACAAAGUUUCAUAUCCAUCCUUCAUUUUUAUGUCCUCUUUUCCAUUUUAGAAAACUGAUAAUUUUUUUUUCAAAUUUGAAAUGUUAAGUCCUUGUCCAAGCAGAGUUUCCUUUGCGGCCUUUUUCAUGCCCUUGCUUUUCUUUACCCAUGUAUUUACUAGAAACCAACUAGUCUGUUGAUCAUUCAUGAUAUUACUGGAUGAACAAUCAGGUGAACCUGCAUUUCUCUAUUGCAAGAACUUUACAGCAGAUUGACUAUAUUAACCUUUUACUUUGUCCGUGGCAAUCCUAUGAUGCGUCAGUUGUUUGUACUCAAUUGAUGUUCUGUGCUCUUUGGCUAAUUAUUCAGAUGAAUUUCAAUGCUUGUUUGGCCCCAUUUGGGGUUGCGGUGGCUUAUAAAGAAGUACUUCUGACACAAGUGCUUUUAACAAAAGUGCUUUUAAGUUACCACAACUUGGGCUACUUAAGUUACGGGAAAUUAGUCACCAAACACCCUAGAGGUACUUUUAGUGCUUAAAAGCACUUUUUUUUUUUUGUAAACGCACCGCAAUCCCAAACGAUGCCUUUAUUACAUUAAACUCUGAAACUUUUUUAAUUGUUCACUGCUAAUAGCUUGGAAGUUUUCUCACAAAAUAUUCUGGUUUAUGUGAAGCAUGCCCAUUAGGUUCGUACUGUCCACUUGCUACGCUUAAUAGGUCUAGCGGCAACUGCGAACCGUAAGUUCUAAUUCUUGUUGCAACAAUUUUUUGAAGGAUUUCUCCAUUUUGUAUGGCUUUUUAUAUCUAUCAUAGCACUCUUCAGGUACAAUUACCAGUUACCAGCUGGACAGCUAAAUCACACUUGUGGUGGGGCAGAUAUGUGGUCCGAUGUCAUCUCUAGUGGUGCUAUAUUCUGCUCAGCAGGAUCAUAUUGUCCAACCAGUAUAGAGCAAACUCCUUGCAGCAGUGGGUAAGAUUGUUGUCUUUUAAAGUUUCUGUAAUAUGAAUUCCUGUUGAGAAAAGAAAAUUAAUUAGAAGUGUGAAACAGUUUUGGAGUGGAAUGACAACAUAUGCUUUGAAACAUGUAAUGGAAAUGGAAAAUUGGAUAGGCAUGUGAAAUACCAAACAAACUUGUUUACAGUUUUCAUAAAUCCAUUAAAGAUAAAAAAUUAAUUACUGGAUUGGUUUUAAAAAGUUCUUGGCUAAUUUUGGAAUGAUAUUUGAACUGUUAAUCAUAUUCUCUGGGAGUGUUUUGCAUGUUUUUAAAUUUGUUGCAACUGUUAUUGUCUACAUUGAAGUCUAGUUUGGAGAAACUUCGUGACUGUCCAAGAAGCAGUUCCCUACAACCAUGGUCUCCAUUUUUGUUUUGUUAUACUAGUGAUUCUAUAUGCGAAGUCUCAAUACAUUAUUUCUUUAAAUCUCAGGAAUUACUGUCCAAUGGGCUCUACAUCUGAGAAACGUAAGACCAGACUAAGAUUUGAGUUAGCACAUGCUAAAUUUUAUCAAAACCUUAAUGCUUCAUGGAGUGACGGUGACUAAUUAAACUUGCAGCAUGCUUCAAGCUGGCUUCGUGUGAUCCCAAUACUGCAAGUCAAAAUAUUCAUGCAUAUGGAGCAAUGCUUAUAGUAAGUUGUUUCCGUGUUUUAUGAAUUACUAUUAUAUGUUGGACCCUUUGUCUUAUAGGGGAAGUGAAAUGUGGAGGUUGUUUUACCCCAAGCUCUAGCUACGUAUACAUACAUCAUUUUAGUAUGGGAGAGUGAAGCGAAAAGGUUCAAGAUGCUAAUAUAGAGCUAUAAUUGCAAUACUGAAGAUGCCCUGUCUGUCAUGUUUCUGUUGUUAUUCUCUUUACAAUUUGGCUUUAAACUCUGAUGAUGAGACACUUAAGUGUGGACUUGAUCUUUUGGGAUCACAAUUUCUCUCUCUAUUAACUGUGUAAGGAUCUCUAAAAUCUUCACUGUGCCUCAACCAGCACUUGUCUAUGACUGCAGAUUUCAUUACCUGGCCAUCUUCUCAAAGUCCUUGUAUUCUUUUGCUAUUGCAAAUGCAACUAACAAAAUAAACGUAUUUUUCUAAUCACAAGCUGUUUGAGUACUCUAACUGUGUAAGGAUCUCUAAAAUCUUCACUGUGCCUAAACCAUCACUUGUCUAUGAGUGCAAAUUUCAUUGCCUGGCCAUCUUCUCAAAGUCCUUGUAUUCUUUUGCUAUUGCAAAUGCAACUAACAAAUAGACAUAUUUUUCUAAUCACAGGCUGGUUUGAGUACUCUUCUCCUUAUUAUCUAUAAUUGCUCUGACCAAGUUAUCACCAUCCGAGAGAGGAGACUGGCCAAGUCCAGGGAAGCAGCAGCUAGAAGCAUAAGAGAGAAGGUUCAAGCACGUACAAGGUGGAAAGCUGCAAAAGACGCAGCUAAAAAGCAUGCAAUUGAAUUGCAAAGUCAAGUAUCUCGGAAAUUCUCUCGCAGGAAAGUUGGUGCAGAAAAUGAAAAAGUUAGGAUAUUAAACGAAGAAGAGCUUGGGACAGAUGAGGAUCUAUACCCUACCAUGGACACUAGUACUUCUGUUGCAUCUGAGCAAUCAUAUGCUUCAUCAGAAGGGAAGACAAUAGAAGCAGGUCAUCUCACAAGAAUGAUGCACGAAAUUGAAGAUCAUUCUGACAGUUUCUCAAGUUUUGCAGUGGACGCUAAAAGUAGCAAGUCAAAAGCUGCAAAGGAAAAAGAAAUACACACUCAUAGCCAAAUUUUUAAGUAUGCUUACUCACAACUUGAGAAAGAGAAAGCUCAGGAACAGCAGAACAAAAAUCUUACGUUCUCAGGAGUAAUUUCAAUGGCUGCCAAUACCGAGACGAGAAAAAGACCCGUUAUUGAGAUUGCUUUCAGAGACCUAACUGUUACUCUGAAAGGAAAACACAAACAUCUUUUGAGGUCUGUCAAUGGAAAAAUAAUGGCUGGCCGUAUAACAGCUGUGAUGGGCCCGUCGGGGGCAGGAAAAACAACUUUUCUCUCUGCCCUGGCUGGAAAAACAGUUGGAUGCACAAUCAAUGGUUUGAUUCUUGUAAAUGGAAAGACCGAAUCGAUCCAUUCAUACAAAAAGAUUGUCGGUUUUGUUCCACAGGAUGAUAUUGUGCAUGGAAAUUUGACUGUGGAGGAGAACCUAUGGUUCAGUGCAAGAUGCAGGUAUGUGACAUCCAAUUCUGUCGACAUCUCAAAAUACGAAUUUAUUAUCUUAAGAAUAAUUGGAAGUAGAAGCAGCAGAAAUAGUUGAAAUGUUUUACAUAUACUGAUUGGUAUCUAUUUGUAAGAAUAUCUGAACAGUUAAAAGGUACCUUCAAACAUUUUUCUGUUGGAAAGGUGUGAAUUGCACUAGCUGAUGCAAACAGCAUUAAGAAUUGAAGGACAUUUAAGCCACUUUCAAAACCGUUUCUUUUUGUUUGUUUGUUUGUUUUUGUUUUUGUUUUUUAACGCAUUGGCUUUUAGAUUGUGUAAACCUGUCAAUAUUCUGCCAUUUGAGAUUGCAGCAAACUAUGGUAUUUUUUUCAUCUUCAAAGAGCUCCAUUGUCAUUUCUAUGGUGACAUAUUUACCCAUGGAGCAUAGAAUUUCAUUAUUAACUUUUUUUUCUACUUCUUAAAAUUAUUGAAGGCUUUCUGCAGACUUGCCUAAACCAGAUAAGGUUCUUACCGUUGAGAGGGUAAUUGAGUCUCUGGGGUUGCAGGCUGUCCGUAGUUCCUUGGUUGGAACAAUAGAAAAGAGAGGCAUAUCUGGAGGUCAGAGGAAAAGAGUAAAUGUUGGUCUGGAGUUGGUUAUGGAGCCCUCGCUUCUCUUUUUAGAUGAGCCCACAUCUGGAUUGGACAGCUCAUCUUCCCAGCUUCUUCUUAGAGCAAUUCGACGGGAGGCUCUUGAGGGGGUAAACAUAUGCAUGGUUGUCCACCAGCCAAGGUAACUAAAUCAAUAUUCUGAACAGUGGAUGGUAGUCUUUUCCUCUUUUGAUUGGAUUUGUUUAACUUUGUCAUAUAUCGCUAUGCUAAUGGUUUCUCUACUUAAACACAUCUACUUAAGCUGUUAUGAGUCUUUAGCAUACAUUCAGGACUUUGAUAGGAUUAUUCUCGUGGAACUUGCAAAAGACCAUGUGCAACCUGGAAAUGACAGAGGAAAUUUUAUGAACUUAUACCCUAAAGAGAGAGAGAGAGAGAGGAUUUUUUUUGAAUUACUUUACGACAGACGCUGCUCUCUUUAUGAAAUUAUUCAGAGCUUACCAGAACAUUAUUUAUUUAGAAGUCUGAAAUUAUGCUUGCAUCUUUUUUUCUUUUUAUUUUUCAGUUUGGUAUGACUGGCUAGGAUCAUUUCAUUCUCCUACUGAUUGUCAGUACUCAUCUUGUUGUUUCAGCUACACCUUAUUCAGGAUGUUUGAUGACUUGAUACUUCUAGCAAAAGGUGGUCUUACUGUAUAUCAUGGUUCGGUUAGAAAAGUUGAAGAGUAUUUCACCAGCCUUGGUAUCAAUGUUCCUGAACGAGUUAAUCCCCCAGAUUAUUUCAUUGACGUUUUGGAGGGAUUGGUCAAACCAAACACAAGUUCCAGUUUGAGUCAUGAAGAGCUUCCAGUCAGAUGGAUGCUUUAUAAUGGUUAUCCUGUACCCCCAGACAUGCAACACUAUUCUGUUGCUGUUACUGCAUCUCCAACAUAUGUACAGUUUGGUAGUCAUGAGUAUUCUGCUCAAAUUACAAACGAGGACCAAUCUUUUGCCGGGGAAAUGUGGCAAGAUGUGAAGUGUAACAUGGAAAGGCGGCGAGAUAUAAUCCGGCACAACUUCUUGCGGUCAAAAGAUUUGUCAAACCGAAGAACUCCAAAUGUGCUCCUGCAAUACAAGUAUUUUCUUGGGAGGUACAUGACAAAUUUUCAUUUAUAUUCAUGGCUCCUAAAAGGGACAAUCUAACUAUCUUCUUCAUACUUUUGCAAGCCUGUAAACAAUGUUCUGUGGCUCAGAGUUCUUUAGAUAAGCCAAAUUACUCUUCUUCAACUGCCACACACAUAAACCCUGUUCGCAAGGUAAACAAACAUGCCAUAAUAAAGAAACAUGAGAUGGAGGGGUGAUGGGAAGGGCUAAAGAUGCGAGGCCUACCUUGCAUAAAGAGAAGUUCCAUGUCCUGAAACUGUGAAUAGUGCACCAUAAGCCAAAACACAUGAAAGAAGCAAUAUCUGGAUUUAUACUGGAGUGUCUGUCCUUCCUAUAGAGUACGGUUUUUAAAUCCUGACCUGAUCUCCUUGUCUAUUGCUCCUAUUGGUAAGGAAGCUCUUCUUGAAUCUUGGAAGUGAAUUAAACUCUCCACAUGGCGAAAAUAACAAACUGGCAGACUCAUUGACUUAGUAGACUAGAUGAAUGGGAGGAAGUUCUGAGACUACCAAAAAAGAAAUGGAAUCACAGAGUAACACUUUGGCUAUUUUCAUUAGAAGGAUGUUGUCAUCCUGCCUUAGAUUGUAUGCAGCUACUUAAGGUUGGAUUAAUAGUUUGGUUGGCAAGGCAUCGUUUAUUGGUUAAAUCUUUAGGGUCAGCAGCAAACUCUGUAUAAUUACGGCAGUUGCUGUUAGUGUUUAAGGGUUUGCUGGCACAUUAUACAAUAAGAAACUUGCUAAAUGUGCUAACCAUUGGAUCUCUGAUUGCUUAAGUAACUUUCUUCUUAGUUCACUGAGACUACAUUGUGAUGUAACCUGUGGUCAUACUGAUCUCAGGGUUGGCAAGCAACGAUUACGUGAAGCAAGAGUGCAAGCGAUAGAUUAUCUCAUUUUGUUACUUGCUGGGGCUAGCUUGGGAUCUCUUAGCAAAGCAAGUGAAGAGCAGUUUGGCAUGCCUGGUUAUACUUAUAGUAUUAUUGCUGUUUGUAAGUAAAGGAUCAACCACCUCUCAUUUAAUAUUGAUUUAUAUUUGAAAUACUGCCUAAUUUAAUUGACUCACUAGUGUGAAGUUGCAAUGCUUUAGAACUGAAGAAAAUAUUUCCUUCAACCUCCUGAGACAUGUUUUAUGCCCUGAAUCAUGACUAAUACCCUUCAUGCUAAAAGAGGUUCAUAAUGGGUUCUUUUCGUCCAAUUUCAGCUCUUUUAUGCAAAAUUGCGGCAUUGAGGUCAUUUUCAAUGGACAAGCUACAACAUUGGCGAGAAAGUGCUUCAGGGAUGUCUAGCCUGGCUUAUUUUGUUUCAAAGGAUACAAUGGACCACUUUAACACAGCCAUCAAGCCUGUGGUCUAUCUAUCAAUGUAUUAUUUCUUCAAUAAUCCCAGAUCGCCAUUCAUGGAUAAUUAUAUUGUUUUGCUCUGCCUCGUGUAUUGCGUGACUGGUAUAGCAUAUGUAUUAGCCAUCUUUCUUGACCCUGGACCUUCUCAGCUGGUGGGUAGUAAUUUCUUGUUUAAUCCUAGUAUGACUUCUAUUUGAAUUAUUAUGAAUUUGAUUAUUUAAUUUGACCUGUUACUUUUUCAACCUUGUGCAGUGUUCAGUAAUUCUUCCUGUGGUUUUGACUCUGGUUGCAACUCAGGCCAGAGAUAAUAAAGUAUUGAAGAUUAUAUCUGACUUCUGUUAUCCAAAAUGGGCCUUAGAAGCAUUUGUUAUUGGAAAUGCAGAAAGGUAUGAUCCUUCUAUGCAACGUUAAAACUUUCAUCCAUUUGUUAGAGCCUGCUUUAACGCAUUAAAACUACAAAAGCGAAGCAGAAGUGUUUAUAUAAACCUAUCGCUUGACAUGACCAUAAUAACUCUAGAGAAAAAUUGUCUAUCCAGGUCUAGAGAUUGCUGAAGGAACUAUAUCAAUUAAAUAUACUUAGCAAACUAGUAGACGAGUUUAACACUAAAAUGAAUGAAUUUUAAUACGGAUAGAAGCUCAUCAAAACAUGGUGACUUUGAACUUGUAAACCAGCCAAACAGUCGACUCAUUACCUUUUGGUUUUCAGGUACUAUGGUGUGUGGAUCAUAACUCGCUGCGGUACGCUCAGAAGAUUUGAUUAUAAUCUCCAUGACUGGAUACUUUGUAUAGCUAUUCUAAUCCUCACUGGCAUAGCUAGUCGUGGCAUAGCUUUCCUCGGCAUGCUGGUUUUCCAAAGAAAGUAGGAGUAAAUUCAAUUUGACCAAGUACUCAGUUCAGAUUAUUGCAUGGAAGUAUAGUCACUCGCAAUUUUCAGGCAAUCACAGAAUGCAUGAUUCGAAGGCUCUGCGUUUCCAAGCUAACAUUUAGUCGAGUUCAAAGAAAAGCUAACAUUUACUCUGGAGUAACGGUGCAGGAUCUAAUUCUUGACUGCAUCAUGAUAGUUCUUCUGAGCUUUUUAUGGCCAAUUUAAUGUAUAGGAACUUGUGAUGAUAGUAUAUUUAUAGCUUUACACAGUUCAUUUUUUAGUGUAUGUCAGAGGAGAGAGCCUAUUGGUCUUUCCUGUCCGGGUCAAUCCUUACGGGGCCCGACUAAUCCCCUGCGGCCCGGGCCUUGGCGCCCCAACCCGACCCAAGCACGGUAAGUGCGCGGAGGAAUCCAGCAGCGCAGGGACUCGAACCUGGGACCUAGAGGUUUACCAGGAGGAGGUGCUGCCGCUGGACCAUUCACGCGGGGGCUUCCUCGUACAAUCCAGAGACAUACUUUAAUACGAUUAGUGGAUUCUUUUCAUGUAAACAGAACAGGUCAAAGGUUAUCCUUUUGUUUUUUUUGGAGUAAUAUCUUUCGUGGUAUUGUGCAUUGCUUUAGAAGUUGGCACGCCAAUGACAAAAGAAAACCCAACAAGCUUGCCUGCUAUAGCUGUCAAGUUUCUCUUCCAAGAAUCAGGAUUGAAUACAGAAAUCUCAACGGAUUUAAGAGUCUCGAGGGAACAAAUAUGCAAGUACGUAUAUAGUAAUACUUCAUAAGCAAAAAAAAAAAAAGAACCAAUAAAUAUGAGCAAGUUGUGCUAAAAAAAACUUUUUUACAGUUGUAGAUGUGUAAAAAUCUGGUAUAAUUAAAGCAAUCUUUCGUUUCUGUUUCUCUAAACAUAUCAACCUGGUCAUCUUUUGGCCAAACCAUUUGGGUUGCUGCCUUAAUUAGAAUCUCGCAAAGCUGAAGAACUGUCGAAUAAAGCUUUAUUAGACGAAAGUCUAACAAAAUUACAACUAAAAAUUUGAUCAUUCUAGGAGGGGAUUUAGCACAUUAAUUACCAGCGAAUUAGACAAUGUAUUCUGGCAACAAAACUGUUUUUAACUUCCCGUUUUCGAAAUCUAGCUGGCACAACCAGCUACGAAGUGUGCCUUAAGCACUAAUCUUGAAAAUUAUUCUUUACUUUUUGUUUCAAAAGAAAGAAAAAAAAAAUCUAAAAUCAAUCAACAAGAAUUGUUGAUUACAAAAAUGGAUUGAAAAUUCAUUUCGCUAUUUUUAAGAGCGUGCAAAUCAGUAAUGGACCGGUCAAAAUGCAUAAACAACAAACCCACGUCCCAAAUGAUCCAUGCAAGACGCGUAAUUAAACACAUAAGCAAGCAGUGGAUCAUUAAUCUUGCAGGGGGUAAAGUACUGCUCCAGCAUAAAGAAUCAAUGCCAACACAAGUUGAAAUUGAAUAAUAAACUCGUGCAGGACUUACCAAUUGACCAUGAACCAUGGUCUUUUAGAGUGUGAUUUUUAGUAAAAAAAAGGAAACUUAUGGUUCAAAUUAGAGCUACAACAUGAACCAAGUUACUUGAUACUUGAAUUGAACUCGACUUUAUAAGAACUCAUUCGAACUUGAUCCGCUGGCGCUAAUUAGUGAAACCAAGUUUGAAAGUUUUUUUUUUUGUUUAAUGAUUUUAAAUUCAAAGAAAAGCUCGUUUAAGUUCCCUUUGACGACUAGCUAAACAAGUCAAGUUUGAAUAAAAUUUUAAACUUAUUAAAAUAAUCACAUAAAUUUAAACACUAAAAUAUUUGAUUUGAUUAGCCUUAUUUACACUAUAAUCAGGCAAGUGAUAUGUGUUUCAGCCGGGUGAAUUCUGAAGUUCAUUUUUCAUUAUGAAUAAAUACUCAAAGUAGCAUCGGAUGGUCCUUGUACCUUAAGGCAACGGAUUAAAUAUGGUGGAAACGCAACCCAUUUCUCAAAUAAAAUGAAAAAAAAAAAUAACGAAAAGAAAUGUCGAUGCUUCUUGAUCUCGUUGUUUUUUUUUCUUAAUAUCAAGUUCUCCAAUCUGUAAUUUAUUUCUUGUUGCUCAGCACGUAUAUAGGAUAAUCAAGAUUUGUCCAGUUGGCUGCAAUCUUUAGACUUUGUAUAUGCAGAUUGUCCCAUGUGCAUGCAAUAUUACUACUAUAUUUUACCCCCGCGAAUCUCAAAGAAUGCUGAAAGUUUGCUGUUAAGUAUUACUUGAAAGUCAAAACAAUCUCCUCUUGUCUGCUCGCAGUAAAAUCUGCCACCCGAAUUAAUUUACAGCAGAACACAUGGAAGAUUAGCAAAUUAAAGAGCAACUGAGAUGAAAACGAUACAGUUACUUGCGUACUUGCUAUACUAACAAGAACCAGGCCUAAAUUCCAUUUAAAUACCAGCGAAUUAGGACUAAGUUCUCCUGUUUCCCCUCUUCUUACCUCCCAUUUCGAUCUUUGGAUCCUUUUCUUUACCUCCCAUUUAUACAUUCAUACCAUUAUUACUCUUCGGCUGGCUGCUCUUUCUCCCUCUCGGAUCAGACCCUUAUCCAUUUUAUCAAGUGGGAUUGACUUAGAUUUUCAGAAAUCCGUCCCUAUUGAAAGAAAGAAGCGAGAGCAAUUUUGAAAAAUGAGCAGAGAAAAAGUACCCAGAAAAGGUCUCAAAUCAUUUAGUACUCGUAGGAUGACGGCAUUGGCGGUUUUAGUAGUUGGAAUUUUGCAGUUAAGGUGGGUGCAGAUGGUACAUUGCCAGAACUUUGAUGACUACUACACAUAUGGAAGUGGAAAAGAUUUUCCGGUACAUAACUCAGAAUUUGUCCAGCAUCGACUUCUUUGCUUUCUACUCAAUCUGCUAACAAUCCUAUCGACUGUAUUAAGGAUGCGUAAGUUAUUUUACUAGCAUUAUAUAUUGGUUUGCUUUUGCAGUUUCCUUUUUUUUCAUUUUUUAUUGGAUUUCUAUUUUUUACUACUAGUACUUAUGAUUUUGGUUUGUGGGUUGUUUUGCUUUUUUAGGAAAGAUGAAUGGAACAGGGCGUUUAAUUUUUCCAACAAUUUGGAUUUUAUGGCUAACUGCAUUACCAAAAUCAGAGGUAUAUAUGAAUUCUGGGUGUGCUAGUUCUUGAUAUCAAGAAAUGGAGGAGUUUGCAAUUCAGAUAAUUAUUAGCUAGGGUUAAAAGCGUUAAAUCCCCACGAACUUUACCUUUAGUCGCAUGUUUACCCCAAAAUCAAUGAAUAGGCACUUUGCUCUCCUAUAUUAUGUAAUUAUGUUUUAGGAUGAAAGUGCCCAUUCCAUAUUAAAUUAUUGUUUUAUUCUUUUUUCUCCUUUUUUGUGCUUUUUCUACUUGUCCCUUUUCUUUAUCUUUUUUUUUUUAAUUUUCUUUCUUCUCGCAUGUGAUCUACUACGUCUUCUCUUUGUUAUUAUUAUCUAUAUAUUAGUUUUUGUUUUCUUAGACUUAUUCUUUAUUUAUUUCUAUCUUUUUUACUUUUUGUUAUUGGAAAUUAUAAUGAUCACAAAUAUGCGCAUAGAUUAUUUCAUAUAUUAUUUCUAUCAAUACAUUUAGAGUUUAGAAUAAAUUAAUUUUUAUUAACAACGGUAACAAAUUCAGAUCAUAAUAACAUAGUAGUUAAUCAAUUAUACAUAAAAAUGAAUAAAAAUAUUAGUUACAUUAUUUUUUGGGAUAUUUUUUUUAAAUAUUAAGUAAUUUAAAGUUCUAGUUUACUAAUAUCUUUUUAAAUAAUUAAAUUACUAAUAAUAUAUACUUUUUGAUUAUGACAGGCAUAUAUCAGUUUUUUUACGCUAAUAGUUUGUCUUGAAUUUCUAAUAGUGUAAAUAUAUAAAAUAAGAAUGAAAUUAUAAGAAAAAGAUAAUUACAAUAUUAUAAUAAGUAAACAAAUUAGUAAUAAUAAUAGAAAAGUGAAACAAAAUAGUGACAUGAAAGAAGUGUAAAAAUGAAAAUAGUAAGAAAAGAAAAUAUAAAAAUAAAAAAGUAGUGGAAGAGAAAAAAACAAGGGGAUGAAUAAACAAAAAAGAAAUAAAAUAAAAUAGUAAGGGCACUUUUGCCUUAAAAUAUCAAAUAGGGGGGCAAAGUGCUCAUUUAAUGAAUUCAAGGAAACAAAGCACAACUAUUGGUAGAGUUUAAGGGGGGUUUAGCACAUUUAACCCUACUAACUAUUCAGGGGGAUGAUAGCUUGAUAUUGUUGGUUACUUUUUAACUAAUGCUUAAAAAAUUCCUUCCGAAAUACUAUGCAAUUGGUUAUUUGAUCUGGAAUCCAGAUUAGAACAGAAGGUGUCUUUUUUUUUUAAAAAAAAAAUCCGCUGUUUAGGAAUUGAUCACGUUUAUCAAAAUUACUAAUAUGACACUAGAAAAUAUGCACUUCCAGUUGUUAAUGCGAAUAAAUUUGAAAAUUAAAAUUAAAAAUCAGGCCCUUUCUAUACUUGAGUUUCUUUCAAUCGAUUAGUUGUGGGUUAAUUUGUAGUAUUAUUGAGUUUUAAAGUUUCUUCAUCAAUUUUUUUUUUGGUUUUUUGGUAAGUGGGUAAUGAGGACCUCCUACUUAUAAUUCUUUCUAUUUUAUCACCCAAUUCAACCCUUUUCCAAAGGUAUGUUUUGAUCUUCUCUGUUGUCUUCCAUCCAUCACGGGAAAAAAUCAAUCACCACAAAAAAGAAAGUACUAUUUUUUUCUUUUUCCUUUUUUACUUAGAUUAUCAAAAAGUACUUUAUGGUUAAGUAAUGGGGUUGAAGGGUGGUGUAUUCACCAAAUUGACUUGUGAGUGGAUAGAUACAACGCGGAGAAAGGGUUUGUUAGGGAUUUUUUUUAGCCUGAGUUUCAUGUGAUUACGGGUUGCAAAAGUUGAGUUUUGUCAAAUUCCAACUGGUUCAUCCAAUUCUUUACACAUUUAAUGUAAAUUAGUUUAGUUUAGGUGUAAUUAUAAAAUUUAUACUAAUUUACUUAUACGAAUUGACAAAUUCAAAUUAAAUCUAAGAAAUUUGAAUUAAACCCAAUUUGCACAAACUUAUAUCAAAAAAAUAUAAGAAUUAUAUCAAUUGAUUUGAAUUGAAUAACUCCCAACUUGUGAGGCUGGUGAUGGACAUCGUUAUUACAAAGUUGGCCAAUGAAUGUAGUGAUUCCUUAAAAUGUGGUGAUCUUUGGAUUGGUAAAAUUAUUUCAUCAAAAAGCCAUUAAAUAGAGGGAACUCAAUUUAAAGUCAUAAAAUGUCAAAGUGUAGUAUAUAGCCAGACUCUGGUAUUCUUGAGGUCGUUCGACACUUAAGCUUCCUUUUAUAUUUUAGUUUUAUUUUUAAAAUAUAUUUCCCCUUUGCUUGUGAUUGUGAGAUUAGGGGUGUAAAUUAAUUAAACUACUCAAUUCGGACUUGCGAGUAGUUUGGUUUGAGUUCAAAUUACUUGAUAAGGUAAUCGAAUCGAGUUCAAGAAAUAAAAUAAAAUUCGAGUACUCAUAAAAUCUUAUCGAGUAGUAUAUUUAUAAUAUAAUUUUUAAUUAUGUAUUAUAAAAUUAUGAAAUUUACUAAAAAAUUGAGUUUAAAAUCUUGAUUGAACUCAAUUACACUCGAUUGAGUUCGAUUUGGUCAAGUUCAACGUCGAGCUUGAGAAAGGUAAAAUAAAUUUAAAUUUGAACUCGAAUUCAAGUUCGAAUAAUUUUACUGGAAUAGAGUUCGAAUAAUAUUCUAUUCAAACUCGACUCCACUUGGCCUUCAGUGAUUCGGCUUUCAUAUCUUUCUCCUUUCUCCUCGUGCUAGUAAGGUUUAGAGGCUCCCCUUACACAAAAAAAAGUGUUGGCCUAAAAAAACUUUAAGUUUUAACACUCUCCCGUAGCUUUAGCUGCCGGUACAAAUAACGGAAAAAAUACAUGGUGCUGGAGGUAGAUAACUGAAGAAUUAAUCCUACUAGGGGGAUUUUCAGUUUCCAAUGCCAGAAAGUCCAUCUCUAGAUACUGACCCUCAAAUGCUCGACAGGAGAUAUCAGGCAGCGACUGUGCACAGCUGCCGAGAUAAAAGCUUACUUGAAUGGCAUCCAACCUUUGAGUUUGUCUUUCGGAAUCCAAAGCACGAAACCUAACAACAACUGUAACACCACCUCCUGGGUUCCUGGUUGUGAGCCUGGAUGGGCAUGUCGAGCUAACUCAGAUCACCGGGUUGAUCUAACAGAUUUUCAGGGCAUACCAGCCAGAACUCUCGACUGUCAAUCCUGCUGUGCCGGUUUUUUCUGCCCUCGUGGCCUCACUUGCAUGAUACGUAAGCACACAAGAACAUUCUAUUAUUCUAGUACAUGAAUUCUUUUAAAGUUUUUUUUCCCAUAAUUGCAACUUCCUAUAGUUCCUGCAGAUGAUAAAUGAGACUCAUUUUCUUAACUCUUUUGACUUUAAGCUUCUUUCUGAAGCAAUCUUAAGAAAUGUUAGCGCGUACUUCUUCUAUAACCUUAAGUGAAUUUAGAGUAAUCUUCCACAUUGACACUAGCAAUGCUGUUUAUUCUUGUUUAAUUUACUAAGAAUUUUGAUUUAGCAUUGUAUAACGCCAUUAACAUCCGGUACAUUUUAUCAGCGACCAUGCAUGUUUAUGCAUUUAACAUUCUUCCAAAAAGUCGAGUUCUUGUUCAACCAGAGUUUCCUUUAUAGCCUUUCUCAUUCCUUUCCUCUUCCUACCCAUGUAUCUUAGUCGAAACCAACUGCGCAGUCGAUCAUUCGUGAUAUUAUUGGAUGAACUAUCCAUUGCACUUCAAGUAUUCCUAAAUAUAGGCUGUGUUUGGAAACAUCCCUCAAACCUGCAGUUUUCUAUUUCAAGAACUUAAUCACUCGUUCUGUGUUGACUUCUUACUUCUUCCAUGGCGCUCCUACAGUGCCUCCUUUCUUUGUACCAGGAUAAGAUGUAGUUGAUGCUCUGUCCGCCUGCGCUAAUUAUUGAACGAGUUUUGAUGCUUGUUUACAACAUUAAGCUCCAAAAUUAUUUAUUCUUUGAUUGCUAAAGAGUAAGAAGCUUUCUCAUAUGAUCUUUUUGUGCAUGUGAAGCAUGCCCGUUGGGUUCAUACUGUCCACUAGCUACACUUAAUAUGACUACUGGCAACUGUGAUCCGUAAGUUCUGAUUCUUGUUCCAACAAUUCUUACAGGCUUUCUUUCUCUAUCUUGUUCUCCAUUUAAGAUUAUUGAUGGUCUUCUUCAGGUAUGAUUACAAAUUACCACCUGGACAGCUGAAUCACACCUGUGGUGGAGCAAAUACGUGGUCAGAUUUACACUUUAGUAGUGGCAUAUUCUGUCCAGCAGGAUCAUAUUGUCCAACCACUACAGAGGCAAAAGCUUGCAGCACUGGGUACUAUGUUGAUCCUUUAUCCACAAUGCUUGUCUUUAGUUCCUGUAAUUUGAAUUCUAGCUUGUUUAAAAAAAAAAAAAAAGUUAUUUGGAAGCAUGAAAUAGUUUUGGAAUGGGAGUAUAGAAUAUACUUUGAAACAUUUAAUGGAAUGGCAAACUAGAUAUGCAAGUGAAAUACUAAAAGAAGGUUAUGCUUCCAUUUUACCAUUAAAGAUCAACUCCAAUGAAUGGAUUAGUUUCAAAAAAUUCUCAACUAAUUCUGUAAAGUUAUUUGAUUCUCUAAACAUGAUUACUAAGAGUUUUAAGCAUGUAGCAUAAGUUUAUCACAAUUUUUGUCCUAUACUUUGAAAUUUAUUUUGGAGAAGCACAUGCAAGAAGCAGUUUAAGCAUGAUUACUAAGAGUUUUAAGCAUGUAGCAUAAGUUUAUCACAAUUUUUGUCCUAUACUUUGAAAUCUAUUUAGGAGAAGCACAUGCAAGAUGCAGUUUCCGACAACUAUGAUUUGCACUAUUGUUUUUGUAAGUAGAUGUGUACCUGAUUAUCAGCAGUAACGAUGAUAUUUGAGUAAUUGGUGCCUAUGAUUUCUUAAUAUUCCCGUUAUUCUUGUUAUAAAGUUUUAUAUUGCUGGAGUUGAUAUACAACUAUGUUCUCUUGAAAAUCCAGGAAUUACUGUCCUAGGGGUUCUACAGCUGAGAAACGUAAGUUCAGAAAAAAGUCUGACCCAGAUUGUGAUAAGUUUUUUUUUUUUUUCUAAAAAUCAUUGCUCAGUGGAGUGAUGUCUUGCAAAUUAAACUUGCAGAAUGCUUCAAGUUGGCUACAUGUGGUCCAAAUACAGCAAAUCAAAAUAUUCAUGUACAUGGACUAAUGCUUGUAGUAAGUUGUUCCUUUUUCUUGACUAUGUUGGGUCCUUUGUCUUUUAGGGGAAGUCAAAUGCGGGAGGUUCUUUUACUCUGACUUGUACAUGAAUCAUUUUAGAAGGUGAGAGUGAGCUUAACAGUUUCAAGUUAGAUACUGCUACAGCUAUAGUAGCUGUCCUGAAGAUGCCAGAGAGCUCAUGUUUCAGCAUCUCCGUUGUUAUUGGCUUUGCUUUCUGAUUGUCGGGGCACUUGUAGUCUUGGCGACUUGUUAGGAUCACAUUCUAUCACAAUAAACUGUUUAAGCAUUUAUAAUAUCCGUCAUUGAGCCUUGGGCAGCACCUGCAUUCUGAUUGGUGAAAGAUUUUGCUUGCCCGGCCAUCGCCUCAAAGUCCCUGUAUUCUUUCGCUAUUGAAUCUACAACUAAAAAAAAACUUAUUUAUCAUAAUUGCAGGCUGGUUUGAGUAUUCUUCUUUUUAUUGUCUAUAAUUGCUUUGACCAAUCCAUCACAAUUCGAGAGAGGAGAAGGGCCAAGUCCAGGGAAGCAGCAGCUAGAAGUGUAAGAGACAAGGUUCAAGUGCGUGAAAGGUGGAAAGCUGCAAGGGAUGCAGCUAAAAAGCAUGCAGCUCAAUUGCGUACUGAAAUAUCUCAGAGAUUCUCUAGCAGGAAAGUCAGCGUGGAAAUUGAGAAUGUUAUGACAUUGAACAUAGUGGAACUUGGAGUAGAUAAGGAGUUAUAUCCUGCCAUGGAUGCUAUUACUUUUGGUGCAUCAGAGCAAUCACGUGCUUCAUCUGAAGGGAAGAAAGUAGAAGGGGAUGAUCUCAUGAGAAUGAUGCAUGAAACUGAAGACCAUUCUGAUAGUUUCUCAAGUUUCAGGGUGGAAGAUAGAAAUAGCAAAUCAAAAGCCGCAAAGGAAAAAGAAUUACGUACUGAGAGCCAAAUCUUCAAGUAUGCUUAUUCACAACUUGAGAAAGAGAAAGCUCAGCAGCAGCAGACCAGAAAUUUAACCUUCCCAGGAGUAAUUCAAUUGGCAGUCGAUACUAACACGAGAAAAAGACCUAUUAUUGAGAUUGCUUUUAGAGACUUAACUGUUACUCUGGAAGGAAUGAAAGGGAAAAACAAACAUAUUUUGAGGUCCAUUACUGGAAAUAUUAUGCCUGGCCGUAUUACAGCUGUAAUGGGCCCGUCAGGGCCUGGAAAAACAACUUUUCUCUCUGCCCUGGCAGGAAAAGCAGUUGGCAGCAAAGUAAAUGGUUUGAUUCUUAUAAAUGGAAAGACAGAAUCAAUCCAUUCAUACAAGAAAAUAGUUGGUUUUGUUCCUCAGGAUGAUAUUGUGCAUGGAAAUUUGACUGUGGAGGAGAACUUGUGGUUCAGUGCAAGAUGCAGGUAUGUGAUGUCCAAUUCUCUUGCACCCUAUAUGGUUGUUUUUCUGUAUAACAUCUAAACAAAAAUUUCUUGUCUAAAUAUUGUUGAUUAAGAAUAAUUGAAACCAUCAGGAGCAGAAACAGUUUAGGUGGUUUAUAGAGGCUAAUUUGUGUCCAGUUCGAAGAGUAUCUGAUUCAUCAAGGCAAAAUUGCCUUGAAACAUUUUUGUGUUGGAAACGUGUAUAAUUAAUUGCAUUACUAUUGUUACUAUUAUUACUUUUUUUUUUGGGAGAAUUGGCUUGUCAAUAAUCUGACAUAUGAAAUUGCAACAAACCAUGAAACUUUUCUAAUUAUUCAUCUUCAUGAUCUCUCCAUUGCCUUUCUAUUGCUAAUAGCAACUCCUGCAGCUUAAAAUUUCACUAUUUAACUGUUCUGUACUUCUUAAAAUCAUUGAAGGCUUUCAGCAGACUUGCCAAGGCCACAUAAGGUUUUUAUAGUUGAGAGGGUUAUUGAUCUCUGGGGUUGCAAGCAGUUCGUGAUUCACUUGUUGGAACAGUAGAAAAGAGAGGAAUAUCUGGAGGUCAAAGGAAAAGAGUAAAUGUUGGUCUGGAGUUGGUAAUGGAACCUUCACUUCUCUUUCUAGAUGAGCCGACAUCUGGAUUGGAGAGCUCAACUUCCCAGCUACUUCUUUCAGCACUUCGGCGGGAAGCUCUUGAGGGGGUCAACAUCUGCAUGGCUGUUCACUAACCAAGGUAACUACAUCAAUCUUAUGAAUACUUGAUGGUAAUUUCCUUUUUCUUUUGGUUGGACUUGUUUGUCAUGUAUCACUAUGGUAACGAUUUCUUUACUUCAACUCAUUUGCUCAUGCUAUUAAGAAUCUUUAGCAUACAUUUAGGAACUUCUAUAGCAUUAUUCUUAUGGAAUAUGCAAACGAAAAUCAGACAAUUGCAUCCGAGGAACAUUUGUGGACUGCUUGGGAGCAGAAGCUCCCAUGUUUACGAAGUAGUUAGUUAUUAACAAAAUGUCCUAGAAAUCUCAAAUUACGAGGGCAUCAGUUUUUCCAUUUUUUUUCCAUUUGGUACGACUGUUUGGAUACUUUUAUUCUCCUAAUUUUCAUUGAUUAUAUUCUAGUUUCAGCCACACCUUAUUCAAGAUGUUUGAUGACUUGAUACUUCUAUCAAAAGCUGGUCUCACCGUCUAUCAUGGUUCAGUCAGCACAGUUGAAGACUACUUCACCAGCCUUGACAUCCGAGUUCCUGACAGAGUUAAUCCCCCGGAGUACUUCAUAGAUGUUUCGGAGGGAAUAGUCAAACCAGACACAAGCUUCAUUUUGAGUCACGAAGAGCUCCCUAAAAGAUGGAUGCUUUACAAUGGUUAUCCUGUGCCUUCUGACAUGCAACAGUAUUCUGCUGGCGUUACUGCAUCUCCAUCAAAUAUACAAUUUGGUAAUCAUGAGAAUUCUCCUGAAAUUAGAAACAAGGAACAAUCUUUUGCUGGGGAAAUGUGGCACGAUGCGAAGUCUAACAUGGAACGGCAGAAAAGUAUUAUGGGGCACCGUUUCUUGCGGUCAAAGGAUUUGUCAGAGCGGAGAACUCCCAAUGUGGUUCUACAAUAUAAGUACUUCCUUGGAAGGUACAUAACAAAAUUUCAUCAAUCUUCUUCGACGUUAAUUGACUUUCAUGAAACCCACUCAGCCCGGAUAAAACAGGCCAAAUUUGAAUAAACAGGAGACUGAGGGAAGGGGGAACAGUGAGAAAUAUUAGGCCUUACCUUGCAUGAAGAGAAGUUAUUUACAUGUGCUGAAACUGUGAACUCUAUCAAUGGUAUCAAUGGCAGAGAUUGUGGCAGAUUAUAUGGCAGAGGUUAUGGGAAAGAUUAUGGCAGAUUAUAUGGCAGAGGUUAUGGGAAAGAUUAUGGCAGAUUAUGACAGACAUUAUGGCUACAAUCUGUAUAUAUUUCUUACCUAGAAUAGAAAAUCAGUUACCAUAGCUGUAUAUUAGGUCAAUCAAUCAAGUAUAUAUAGGGGUUUACCAAAAAUAGAUUGUACAGGAAUUCUUAUUUAAUAGAAAGGACCAGGAAGAGGAACGGCAUCCGAUUCCAGUCAAUUUACUCAAAUUUUGUCAUGGUAUCACAGCCUACCUUUUGAAUCUAUAAGAUAUUUUGAGUAUUUUUUUUCUUUAGCUUUUUGGGUUGAUUUCUAAUCAACAUUCUGGUUUUGAUAUUUCUUAGUUUAUCAAUCUGUGAUUUCGGAUUUGCAUUUGAGUUUUGUUAAGAAUGGCUGCUGAGAAUUCUUUUGGAAGACAAUCUGCAGAGACUUUGGGUAUCAGACUUACAGGGAAGAAUUAUGCAACAUGGGAAUUUCAGUUCAGAAUGUUUCUGAAAGGGAAGGAGCUUUGGGGUCACAUUGAUGGGUCUUCUACUGCUUCUGGAACUGAGAAAGAAAUAAGUCAAUGGGAAUCAAAUGAUUCACGAAUUAUUUCAUGGAUUUUAGCAUCCAUUGAACCUCAUAUGGUGAACAGCUUACGUUCAUUUAAUACUGCAAAGGAGAUAUGGAAUUUUCUGAAACGCAUAUAUCAUCAACACAACACUGCAAGACGAUUUCAGCUUGAACUUGAUAUCAGUAAGUUCAGUCAAGGUAAUCUGUCUAUUGAGCAAUAUUAUUCUGCAUUUCUAAAUCUGUGGGGUGAAUAUUCUGAUAUCAUCUACUUUGAGAUACCUAAGGAGGCCUUAGCAAGCUUUCAAAAAGUUCAUCAAGUUAGCAUGCGUGAUCAGUUUUUGAUGAAACUGAGGCCAGAAUUUGAGACUGCUCGGGGUGGAUUGCUGAAUCGAAAUCCAGUUCCUUCUUUGGAUGUGUGUGUUGGUGAAUUGUUACGGGAAGAACAAAGAUUGGCUACACAGUCAAUUCUAAGUGCAGCUGGUGGGACAUCAGAGGUUGUCAAUGUUGCUUAUGCUGCACAAGAAAGGAAUAGAGGAAAGGGACAAAUGUAGUGCUACAGCUGCAAGGAGUUUGGCCAUAUUGCUCGCAAUUGUGGUAAGAAAUUCUGCAGUUACUGUAAGCAAAGUGGACAUAUUCUCAAGGAAUGUCCUACACGUCCGGAAAACAGGCGAGCCCAAGCUUUUCAAGCUACUGUUCCAGAUGCUCCUGUUAUUGGUCCUACAUCUACCACCAGCCAGACUGUUCUGACCCCAGAAAUGGUCCAGCAGAUGAUUCUUACUGCAUUUUCUGCCCUUGGACUUCAAGGUCAAGGUAAGCCAGCUUCAUCUACUUGGCUUAUCGACUCAGGAGCGACCAAUCAUAUGACUGGUUCAUCUGAUUUUUUACAAAAUUUGCGGCCAUAUACUGGUUGCCAAAAUAUUCAGAUUGCUAAUGGUAGUAAUCUUCCAAUUACAGCUAUUGGUGAUAUUGGACAUUCUUUUCGCCAUGUAUUUGUUGCUCCUAAGUUGUCUACUAAUUUAAUCUCUGUUGGACAGCUAGUGGAGAAUCAUUGUGAUGUACAUUUCUCUCGUGGUGGUUGUCUUGUGCAGGACCAGAUGUCGGGGAAGGUAAUCGCGAAGGGGCCUAGAGUGGGAAGAUUAUUUCCAUUGCAAUUUACUAUUCCUAGAACUUUAUCUUUAGCCUCUAUGAUUGUUGACAAUAAGGCUGAAAUUUAGCAUAGACGAUUGGGUCAUCCAAAUAAUGUCAUUUUAUCUGAUUUAAUAAAGCGUGGUUUUCUUGGUGCUAAAGAUCAAGGUUUUGCUCAUGCAUCAUCUCUUGGUUGUUCUGUGUGUAAAUUGGGGAAGAGUAAGAUGUUACCUUUUCCUACUUCUGUUGGUUGUGCUAGUGCAUGCUUUGAGAUAAUACAUAGUGAUGUUUGGGGUAUUACUCCUGUCAUUUCACAUGCGCAGUAUAAAUACUUUGUGACAUUCAUUGAUGACUAUAGUCGGUUCACAUGGAUAUAUUUCCUGCGCACUAAAGCUGAGGUGUUUACUGUUUUUCAAACCUUUGUGGCUUACAUUGAGACACAGUUUUCCACUUGUAUUAAGAUCUUACGGUCUGAUAAUGGUGGGGAAUAUGUGUCAUAUGACUUCCAAGCCUACUUGCAACGCAAAGGGAUUGUAUCUCAGAGAUCAUGUCCUUAUACCCCUCAACAAAAUGGGGUGGCUGAACGCAAAAACCGCCAUUUGUUGGAUAUGGUUCGAACAUUACUCUUGCAAUCUUCUGUACCCCCUAGAUUUUGGGUUGAAGCUUUGUCAACUGCUGUGUAUUUGAUUAAUCGAUUGCCUUCUCAACAAUUGGGUUUUGAUUAAAUCUUUUGGUUCAGAAGCAAAUUCCUGUUAGUUGUGAAGGGUUUGCUGGCCCUUUAUACAUGUCUUAACAUUUGGAACUUGCUAAAUGUCUUAAUAUUUAGAAAAUUGAUUAAAUUUCUUUAUCCUUCACCAAGCACACAUUGUGAUGUUACUCACGGACAUACUGAUCUCAGGGUUGGCAAGCAACGAUUACGUGAAGCCAGAAUGCAAGCUAUAGAUUAUCUCAUUCUGUUGCUGGGGCCAGCUUGGGAAUACUUGGCAAAGAAAGCGAUUAUCAGUUCGGACUGCAUGGUUACAAUUAUACUAUUAUUGCUGUUUGUAAGUUGAAAGGACCAACUACCUCUUACUCCAUGUUAAUAUUGUUCUUGCUUUACUGGCCAUUUCAAUUGCCUCACAAGAGUUAGAAGUUGCAAUUCUUCGGUACUGAGAUAUGUCCCGAAGUAUGACUAGACUUCAUGAUAAUAGGUGCACAUAUGGGACAAAUUCUGCAAAAUUUCUCAUUAUAGCUCACUGUAUUCUACUUUUUGUCUAAUUUCAGCUCUUUUAUGCAAAAUCGUGGCUUUGAGAUCAUUUUCACUGGACAGGCUACAAUACUGGCGAGAAAGUGCUUCAGGAAUUUCUAGCCUGGCUCAUUUUGCUGCUAAGGAUACAGUAGACCUAUUUAACGUAGCCAUCAAGCCUGUUAUCUAUCUUUCAACGUAUGACCUUUCUUUGAAUUGUUCUAAAUUUGAUUUCUUCAAUUUGACCUGUUAUUUUUUGACCGUUUGCAGUGUUCAGUGUUUCUUUCUGUGGUUUUGACUCUUAUUGCAACUACAACCAAAGAUAAUAAAGUGUAUAAGCUUAUAGCUAACUUGUGUUAUCCAAAGUGGGCUUUAGAAGCAUUUGUUACUCAAAAUGCAGAAAGGUAUGGUCCUUCCAUACAAGGUUAAGACUUCCAUCGAUUAUAAUUCUUGAUGCCUGCUUUAGUGCAUAAAACGAGAAAACUGCAGCUAGUCUCAAUUGUGCAAGUCUUAUAUCUCUUGAUAUGACUGUAAUUCUAGAAGAAAUUUGUCUACAUAGUUCUAAUAAUCCCUAAAGUAAUUAUGUUACACAUGUUCACUAAAAUGCAAACCCUACCAGAUGAGAUCUAGAACUGAAAAGAAAAAAAACAGAUAGAAGAGAUGCAGCUAAAUAACCAAGUUGAGUUUAACUCUCAAAUGAAUGGAUUUAACUAACACAUAUGCAUGUCUUCUUAGGAAUUAUAACAUUGUGACUUGUGAACCAGACAGAAAUAUGUCUCAUCAUAAAAUUUUGGUUAAUUAUCAGGUACUAUGGUGUGUGCAUCAUGACUCGCUGUAGUUUACUCAAAGAUGUGGGAUAUAAUCUCCAUGACUGGAUACUUAAUUAGUAUAGCUGUUCUAAUCCUCAUUGGCAUUGCUAGUCGUGUCAUAGCUUUGCUAGUCGCAAAUUUGAUGUCUGUAGUAUAAAUUUAUAUUCUAAUGUGGUUUUCCUUGUAAAGUCCAGAUAUUAACAUUCAUUUACUGUAUACAAAAUCAAGAUAUUAACAUUCAUUAAAAUCCAGAUAUUGAUUCCUUUACUGUAUACAAAACAGUAGUCAAAAUUUCACCCCUUUGUUUUCAAAGUUGGAACCUUCUGAGAAUCGAACAAGCUUUGCCUGCUAUAGCUCUCUAUUGUUUCCAGGAAUUAAUUUCGAUGGGUUUAAGAGCUUGGACGUACGGGACAAUGUAAAAGUACAUGGUAAUACUUCAUGGGGCAAAAAAUAAAUGAUUUAAUCAAAGACAUUGUGUUAAAAAGAGUUUAAUAUGUUGAGGUUGAAAGAUACUUUUUAUGAGACCGUUUGUUUGGGUUAAUUCCUUUGUUUAUUGUUAAAAAAAAUCGUAAAAAUGUUGACCUAACAUGAAGUAAUAUAGAACUAUACCUGCCGGGCCUAUAGGCAAAGCAAUUUUUUUUUUUUUAAACUGUUGGGUUGCUCAGCCCGGCAGCCAAUUGGAAAUUUUCCUAUUGUAUCAAAGUAAAUAUAGUACUCCCAUCUUAAGUAGCAUUACUAGAAAGAGUGGGAAGGGAGAAGCAAGGCUCGAAGAAUAAGCCGAGCUGUGCAAGGACGUGGAGAUAUAGACCGAUUACAACGAACUCACGAAUUUAAUAGAAACAAAAGAUAAGCCCUUUGCUCUAGUUUACUUGCAACGCUCAAGUCUCAACAUAAAAGAGUAUUACAGCCUGUGUAGACAUACAUCUCAACGAACUCAAUUCCAUCAAACCUCAACCUGAGGACAAUCUCUCGAGUAUCAUUUUUGGAUCUAAUGGAAUUCAUAGGUAUAGGAAGAAGAAGUCCUGUCAAAUAGAGAUUUUUAUUUUUGACCAUAUGUGGAUUGUUACAAGUACCACUUCUGCAAAGAGUACUAUACUCUUGAUCGUGAAUUAUCGAUUACUUAUUGAACUUCGUGAAUUGCAAUGUCUUUGGAUUCCGAUUGAACUUGUUUUUAUUAUAUUGAGGUUUUUUUCUUCAUAUUUGAGAAUUGAAAGUGAAAAUCUUUUUCUUUUGAUGGUAAUUAGAAUUGCUCGAGUUUUGCUUUUUCCAGUAUAUAUUAUGCUCAGUUAUUCAAGAAAUUAGUUGACAAAUAGCAAUCAUCUAAUAUGUAUCGAGACAGGAGACAUAGUGUAAUGGGAGGAGCCCGAUUCAGAGCCUAUUACCCGGUCUCCUGAUCAACUUGAUCAGCAGUAUAUAAAUGGAGGUUUUUGCAUGACAGAACUUUGACAGCCUACGUGAAGGAGUCUUUAGUAUUUUUACGUGAUGAAUGUACUCCGUAGCCUUGUAUAACUUAGACACUCCCGAAAUUAUUUUCAUAAUUUGUAGCAAUACUCAUAAUUAAUACAUAAUCAAAAUACAACCAUUCUGGUGCCUAAAUGAGAGAGGGGGGAAAAAGGGUGCUUAAAAGAUUAAUGAUUCCGAAAUAAACCUAAUGCUUUUGACUGCUAUAAAUCUCCAGCAAUUAUAUAUGUUCGAUCAUUCUGGGAGGGGAUUUACUACAGCUCCAACGAAGAGGACUAAUCCAGAUGUCUCUUCUUUGACGAUGAACAUGAAAGGAUGGUCAGCUACAAAAGUCUUGAUUUCUCGCUGUAUUGCUUCGGGUGCACAGCCCUCUAUUGCACUAAAAGUGACGGCUGCUGCCUCUGUGCCUUUCUCAUCCACCUCGAUAAAAGCUUUGUGAAUUAUUUUUGAAAUGAAAGGCGGAUCUCUAGCAUGAAUCAUCUCUGUCAGCUCCAUGUCUUGUUCCAUGAAUGGAAAUUUAAUUUCCUCAAGAACGCUUGAGAAUUUGAUUUUGGGUAUCCGCACGACAUCAACAAGUGUUCUCUCAAGCUCGAAAUGGGGGCUUAUAAACCCGGAAUUGAACUUCAAUACUAGAUCCUGCAAUCCAUCUAUCUUGUGUGGGAGGAUCAACUGCAUUGAAAAUCUCUUCUUGUCUCCGAUGUUGCCGCUUUUAUAGGGAAGCUCGAUGACUUUAAAGUCAUCAAAUGAUCCGUACAGAUAAUGUCUUGAAAUGCCCAUGAAGGGAACAGAAACCUUGUCUCCACCGAGAAGGGAGAAGUUCUGAUUCCGAGUCCUUGUAAUAUCAAAUUCAUCUGCCCAAUAUCCUUUGAAGUAAAGAGCAUUUCCUAGUAUAAGUGCGGUAACAGGGCUAAUGUGGCCACGUUGAAGAACAUCUUUUAUGAGGCCAUUCGUUUGCAGGUCUGCCCAUGAGUUUAUUUCUUUGAUGGCUUUAUCGGCCUACACAAAAUCGUUGAGUCCAACAUAAAACAACAUUAUCAAGACAAAUUCAGCAAGAAUAGUUUUUCAUAGGUUAACUGAUUGACUUAAUGCACGAAGUUACAAAAGAGGAAUUGGGCAGAUUUUUGUAAUCAACAGUACUAAAGGUAAUUAAACAGCAUAAUUGAUCAACUAGAUAUGCACACAUGCCCUUAUCAUACAUAUAUAUAGAGCUGUUAAACGAAUCGAACUGUUUGGUAGUUCGGUUCGUUUCGACAUAUUCGUAUUCGUGAAAGACUCGUUCGAAAUUUUAAACGAAUCGAGUUCGAACGAUUUUUUUUGUUCGAUUAAUAAUCAAGCGAACAUGAGCAUGUUCGCGAGUUUUAACGAACGUUCGCGAACAUGAACAUAAUUAUCAUUUGACAAAUUUUAGGGUUAAUUUUAUGGCUAGACUUUUGUAUUUGGAGGGUUUUAUUUGUUAUUUUUAUGUUAAUGUUAGUUAUAUAGUUAAUGAAUAAUAGAAUUUAGUCUCUUAGUGCUUUAAUUAUUUUUUAGAAUGAUUAAUGAUUUGUAUGGCAUAUUUAAGGUUUAAAAUAAUUUGGAUUCGAGUAUUUCGAGAAUGUUCUCGAACGGCUCAUUUAUGUUAAAUGAGUCGAACACGAACUCGAAUUCAAACAUAAACUUUGCUUAACGAGCCGAACACGAACACAGGUUUGGAGUUUGAAAAUUAACGAACGAACACGAACGUUGUUCGAAUCGCUUAACGAACAGAACUCAAACAUGAAAUACUCGAUUCGAUUCGACUCGUUUACGUCUCUAUACAUAUACAUAUCAGCCUAUUAUGCAUACAUGCACUUAUCCACAAUUUUGUAGUUUGUACCUGUCCCUUUUUUUUUUUUUUCUUACUUUCCCACUAUGAGUUUCAUCAACCUAAUCACCUUAAAAAUGAGAUUGAUGAUGGGAAUUCUCCCUUUUCAUCAUACUAAUAUCGUACACCAUUCACUAACCCUAACAAACUACUAUUUUACUUUUCGUCCCAACAUAAUAGCCAAAAAAAAAAAUACAAGAGUCAGCAACAGAAGAGAGAAGACCAGUCACAUAGUAACACGUACUUUUUGGAAAUCCACGUUUUUGGCAUCUGAUUUGAAGACGUUAGUAACACAGUCCUUGUACGAGGGCUUGAGGGGAAAACGAGAAUCCACCCAAACUCCAUUGACGAAUGAGAUCUUUGGAGGACUACUACUACCACCACAACCUCGAUAACGACGGUAGCUAUUACUCAUGCCACUGCAGGCGGAGGAGGAAGGGGAGGAGGAGGAGGAGGAGGAAGUUGCAAUAGACAUCAUCUGCGAAAACAUCGACUUGAGCUGCUCCAAAUCGUCGCAUCCAACAAAGCUGAGUACACGCUUCAGAGAGCGUCCUGAACAUCCCGUGGCCAGCAUGGCUGCUAUGGCGUUCAAGGACAGCGGAGACAGCACAAUAUUUUUCGAGAACCCAUUGCUGCGGAGGCUACUUUGCACAAGAUUUGCAGCAAAAGGAAGACAAGGAUUCAUGUUUUUUUUUUUUUCCUUUUUUUCUCUUGUGCGUGAUGAGAGGUUUUUUUUUGAGUGUAGGGCUUUUUGGAGGAUACCUGAGGAUGACUUGUCGUGCAAAUCGUAUGACCAAGUAGCGUAAAGACUUGCAAGCAAUGGAUCCCAAUUAGCGGCACAGAUCUGUCGGCUGACGUAGCUUCAGAUCUGAACCGCAGAAAAUUUGUUUGUUCUUGAGUUCAAACACAUUUCUCUGCCAUUCUUUGGAGGACAAACAAUUCCAUCGAAAGUGGGAUAAAAUAUUUUUUUUUUGCACUAAAAUAAAUUGAAAUUAACUAUUUUAGAUUUGGUAUACUGUGUGUACAAUUGGCUAAAGAAGUUUUAAUAUAAGUGAUUUUAUUGUUCAAGUUUUAAGCCGUGUUUUGAAAGUCGUAUUCUCGAGGCGAGGUGUUUCUGAAUUACCCUUGGGCGGUCAAAUGGGGGUUAGUGUCCGGGCGAAUGCCCACGCAUUCUUGCGAGUUUUUUCUUUACAAUGUAAAAAUUGUGUGCUUUUAAAAUUUCAGCACUUUUUUCUCUUUUUUAAACUCCAAAAGAAUAUCUAAACUGGAUUUUCUCUUCACUUGUUUAAGGAAGUUGAGACCCUCAAGGUGAAUUUGCAAUUUCUAAAAAAAAUUUCUUAUGUUAGCUUACAAAUUUAAGUUGAUGAACAUGGAUGUUAGUUUGGAAUUUAAUAAUACAAAGGAGGUGAAAUUUUAAAACUUUGUGCUUCACAUUGAAGAUAUUCUAAAGAAAUAGGGGAAAGACACUGGAUUUGAUAGUCAAAACUCACAAAUAUCAUUUGCUAGUGCCCUGGAAAAGAGUUCUCACAACUGCGAUCAUUUGUUUGGGGGAUGACAUCAAGUCUUUUAUGCAAAUAAUCAUCAAAAUUUAUAGUGGUUUGUUGGGUUUCCGCUUAUGGCAUAACAUUAGUCAUACAAGUAGGUUUUACUUUUAGUCAUACAAACAAGUUUUACUUUUUUUAUGCAGACACAAGGUUAUAUUUUUUUUAUUUUAUCUAAUCCUUUUUUUGGUAUUUUUAAUAUUAUACAUAUAUAUACACACACACAUGCACACAUGCUUAUACAUAUAUAUUAUAUUUUUAAAAUAUUUAAAAAUAAAAUUUGUGGGUCUUUUGCCUCCACUAGAUGGACAUAAAACAUCCUGCCCAACGCUUUCGCCUUUUAAAACACUGGUUCCAAGUAUGUAAAUUUCAAAUUGUAUAACAUAAAGACUAAGUUGACGUUUGGAUUGCGAGUUUUUGUGAUAUUUUUUUUUAUAUAUUCCUUCAAUACAUUUCUUAAUUAUUAUUUUACAUCACAUACAUCAUAUUGUUAUUUUUUUUUUUUUUUUUGCAGAAACUCUCAAGUACUCCAAUCCAAACUGGACCAAGAUGCAGGAGCACGUAGAGCUUUGUCUAGUACUAACUUUUUCUCUUCUCUAUUAUUCGAGAUACCUUUUCAUUAGCUUGCUUCCUAGUCUUAAUCUUACCUUUCCAACAGAAAUCGAGCACAAGCAAUAAUUGGACAUAGUGGACAGUGCAAAUGUAGAUUAAGAGUUUUAGGUGCCAUUUUUUUCUUUUAAGUCAUCAUUAAAAUCCAAAACGUUAAACCUAUCCGAAAGGGCUGUUUAAUCCACAACCGAUAUACAUGAAUCUUAUAAGAGAAUAUGAGAGCAUAUAUAUAUAUAUAUAUAUAUAUAUAUAUAUAUAUAUAUAUAUAUAUUAUGGGAAUAUGAAAAGCUAAAACCACUACAUGCUAACUCUCAUAAGUAACACAUAGACGGACUAAACAUUUGAAUCAAGUGUCAAUGGAAUUUAUAGGUAUAGAAACGUAGAAGCAAAGGUUGUAACUAAACACAUGGAUGUUCCACGAAAACGCAUGUAUAUGCUGGAAGGUGAUCAUUCUACCCGCCGCGGGGGGGGGGGGGGGGGGGUGUUUGGUGCUGCUCCGGGGAAAAGAGGUGAUCCGGAUAUCUCUUCUCUGACUAAAUACAUCAAAGGAUGGUGAUCUGCAGCAGCAAAAAUCUUAAUUUCUGAUGUUGCUUUUGGAAAGGUCCAAAACUUGGAACCACCACAUUAAAAGAAACAGCUGCCGCCUCUGUGCCUUCCUCAUCGAUGGAACAUCUCCUUCAGCUCCAUGGGUUCUUCCAUGAAUGGAAACUUCGUCAAGGGUAUACGAGAACUUGAAUUUUGGCAUACAUUUUUCUAGGAGAUUUUGCAAACCAUCUUUCUUGUAUGGGGAGGAUAAUUUGCAUAGAAAAUUUCUUCUUGUGGUCUUCCUUGCUUUGUUGAUAUGGGAUUUCUAGGACUUCGAUGUCAAAGAAGGAAUUGUACGCAUUUGAUCCUGAACUAGUCACCAAGUGAAGCAUAGUGAAGUUCCCAUUGAGAAGGAAAAAUGACCUCUGCUGACUGUGUUUAGGAUCAAAUUUGUUUUUCCAUGGUCCUUCUACAUAAAGUGCAUUUUCGGGUUAGGAGGCCGCGAUGAACAGCACCUUGGAUUGGGCCGUCGAUUUUGAACGCAGCCCCUCCAUUUAAAUUAGCUAUUUUUUAAACUAUUUUUAAAAUAUUUUACUAUAACAGCAUAAAAAUUUUUACUAUAGAUGUUUUUUGAAAUAUUUAAUAUAUUGUAUGAAUAAAAUAUUUUUUGAAUUAUUUUUAUUUGUAUAUUACUGUAACAUUAUAUUUAAAAAAACUUAUUUUUGAAAAAUAGGUCAAUCCAAGCUGACGUGCUGUGUUAGUAGUAGUAUAUAUUAAAAAGAUCAAUUCUCUUUUCUGACCUCAAGAGUUUGCUAAAGAAGAGUAUCUCCAAGGACUAAUCACAAUCUUGUACUGUACAAGUCAAGCAUCAUCUAUCUUGUAGGAAGCACAACUUUGAUGGUCUCAACAUAAACAUUCUCUUGAACGUUGCAGUUGUGUGACAUGCAUGGUACUCUUUUAUUGUGAAAU